GACUUGAAGCUAAGAUAUAAAUUUUUACCACCUAUAUUUCAGGAACAAACUAUGUUCAUUUUUAUUCUACUUUCUAGCCUGUAAAAUGUGUAAUGAAAUUCGGGUACAUGUCCCACUAAGAAUAAAUAAUAUAUUUAUGGUAUAAUUUUAAAUUUAAUUUCUAAUUCUUUAUAUUUUUUUGUUAAUUUGAUUUUUAAAUUUUAAUGAAAAUAUUAACUAAAUUUACUUUUUGAGGGUAAAAGCUUUCAUUAAUAAAAUUAAAUAAGAAAAACAAACAUAACAAUGUUCCAACAAGCAAUUAAGGGAGAUAUAUAUCUCAAUUAAGGAGGCUCUGAGGGCUUGAAUAAGAGACGUUAUGUAUGUGUAUGAAUGAAUUAUGUUAUGAUAUAUGAAAUGUUUAAGAAUGAAAGUUUUUAAGUUACGGUUUCUCGGUAAUUUUUCGAAACCCUUUCGGCGACGGAUAUGAGUUAGGGGGUUACUGAGCAUUAUCGAAGUUUACAUUUCAAAACUAUUAAGAAUUUAAAACAUUUAAUUCACAAUAUCAAUCAAUGUAAAACCAAUCAAUGGCAUACAUAUUGUCCCUUAUACAAGUCCUCGAUGCCCUAAAAACACAUUAGAAACAAGUCAGGAGCAAAUCGAAAACAUAUAAUUUUUAGGAAAAAGAUGAAUUUUUUUUUUAAACUGAGGGGUCACACUGCUGAGACACACACUUGUGUCUCAAGCCAUGUGGGUAAUCGAAGUAGGGACACAUGGUCAUGUCUCAGCCCAUGUCGUGCCCACAUAACUCUUUGACUUAGGUUACACGGCCAAGCCACACGCCCGUGUGCUAGGCCAUGUAAUUCUCGAAAUGCAACCUUUAAAAAACCUACAAGGGACACACGGCUGUGUCACAUUGCCGUGUGUCACACACGGUUGAGACAUACACCCAUGUCUUAGGCCGUGUGGACAAGAAAUAAGCCAAUUUCAAGUCAUUCCUUUCACCCAUUUCAAGCUCACACCUACAAGAUGUUUGCACAUACAAUCAAGCUUUUAAACAUACCAAAGCAUGCAUAUUAAGACCAAUUCAGUAGGUCAUUUAUCCAUACAACCAAUAUGUCAAAAGACACAUCAAACAUAAUCAUCAAAUCAACCUAAACAUAUAUACAUUUACCAUUUAUCAACUAAUUUGUUCCAAUGCCAAAACAUAUCACAAUUUAUACAAAUCAAUCAUACCAUAUUAGAUCAAUGCCAAAUCUAAAUAACCUUACUAUUUGGACCAUUCCUCACAUGCAUCAUAACCACCUAAAUGACACAAACCAACCAUUCCCAAAUGGUACCAAACAACCGACAUUUAUAUACCAUAUUUACAAGCCAAACAUUACAUCUCAUCAAACACAAUUCACUUAUACAUGCCAUUAUAACCUUGAUUAAGAUAUCAAAUUUACCAAUAUAAUUGUUGGAUAGUGUGAUAGAUCUCCGACGAGCUUCUAACCUGAUCGAUUUCCAAUAAUCUGUAAAGUACAGGAAAAUAACUGCGUAAGAAAUGAAUGCUUAGUAAGCUCGUAUAAACUUUGAACAUAACAAUCCAUUUCACAAUGAACUUUAUAGAUUAAAUAUAAACCUAUACCAUUACCUCAAGAUUUAACAGCUACAUAACCAUCAACUCAUAAAUGAGUAAGCCUAUUAACAUCAUAUAUAUAUAUUUUUCAUUCCUAACAUCAUAGGAUUUUAUAAAUCAUUAUACACUAUCAUUAACUUUUUCGUAAAACUAUGAAUUACUUCCUUUACUUACUUUCCAUUUCAAUUACUAAGUAUAAACUUAAAUAACAACAUCAAUUCACUAGUUAAUAUAUUUAUUCAUCUCAUAGGUAUGUUCAUCAAUAAUAUACGUAAUUUCUCUUAUAUAUAAAUACACCAUUCAACUCAUCAGUCCAUUUUUCAUCAUAUCACAUUUCAAUCAUGAUUUUACCGUUUCAUUACCCUUUCUUAUCCAUUUCAUUUGUAUAAUACCAGACAUAAGUAUAAACAUCAAUCAUAAUCUCAAGCUUUACAUAAGCCUAAUCAUUAUCAUCAAUACACAAGUUAGUACAUUUAUGUAUAUAACUCAUUUGGGGCCAAUCACAUGAUAAACCAUUUUAUAAGAAAAUAUACCUUUGAAUCUUACCACCUUUUCAUGAACAUAAGCAUAUUUCUGUUUGGCCACUUACCAUUUCAAUAUAUAUCAUUAAUAUUAAACAUGACAUAAUGCAAUCAUAAGCUUAGCACAAACCUAAGCAUCAUCCACAAUCUCAACUGAUAAAUUUAUUUAUGUUCAGAUCAAUAUUCAAUAAAUAACAAAUCUUUCAAAUUCAUUAAACAGAUUAUUUUAUCAAAAUUUUCCAUUUGAAGAAUGACUUAUGGAUAAGAGUAAAUCGUCAGUCCACCCAAAACACACCAGAAACUCACACGAGCCAAUCCCUCAAGCACACCAAUAUUCAAAAGAGCUAAUCCAACCAAUACACCAAUGCUCAUAAGAGCUAAUCCAACUGUAACACCUUAAACUCGGCCUAGAUGUUCAGACCAAGUUGGAGAGUUACAUCACCUAUACUAAAGUUCAUACUAUCAUAGCACAGUUAAAUUGAACAUGUAGUCACGUAAUAUUCAUCACAACCAUAAUCUAAUACAUAUAACCUUCAUAAAUUCCAUAAUAUCAUAAAACAUAGAUCCCUAAUAGUAAUACUUAAAAGGAAAUAUAGAAGUUUGACUAAGCUUCUGCGACACUGACUCGAUCAAGACUGGGUACCACCUGAAAUCCAAUCAAUAAAUGGGUGAGUUGUGAACUCAGUGCGUAAAAUGAAUGUAAUUCAACAACGGUUACUUAUAAAGAAAUUCCAGUUUAGAUAUUCAGUUUGACAUAGAAGCAUGUUCAAUUUAGAUUCAGAGCAGAGGUGUUACAAAUAUGUACAUAUAUACAAUUUCAGUUCAGAUAUGAUUCAGAUUUAAUUCAAAUGCAAUAUUCCUAUUUCCGUCUUCUACACACCAUUUUCAACCAUCCCAACACACCACUAUGGACGUUUAAUGCCCAUUCAUCCCUGCACACAUUUAGAGUGUUUAAUGACACUUUCACAGAAACGAGGCUUAGCUGCUAAAUUAAAAUGAGACAAGUGCAAGAAUUAGAGUAAUACUCAUUGUGGCAUAGCCACGAUUUCAGUACAAACUUCCUCCCUCCUCACAGCCUCCCACCACAUGCUAAUACAGAUUACAAUUACCCGUAUCAUAUGUUCAGUCAUUCUAAUACAUUAUACAAUUAAUUAAUAUAGUUCCAAAACAGAGUAAAUAUCACAGGGCACAUAUAAUAUUUUUACUUAUGAAUCAAUCCUAAUGUAUCAGACAGUUUUUGGCCCAAUUAUCGUCACAUGGCUAAGUCACACGUUAAUGUGCCCUGGCCGUGUGGUUUUCAAGCAUAAACAGUGAGUUACACAGUUUGGACACACACCCGUGUCCUUGCCCAUGUGAUUCGCACGGCCUGGGUACACACUUAUGUCUCUGCCUGUAUGGCUUUUAUACCUCAACAGUGAGUUACACGCUUGGGCACACGCCCGUGUCCCUGGCCGUGUGGUCUCAAUCGACAAAAAAUGAGUUACAUAGCCUAGAUACACGUCCGUGAACAUUUCCCGUGUGAACCCUACACUAAUAUGGUUACACACGGCCUAGACACAUGCCCGUGUGGCCCUAAAUUGACAAAUAGUAAGUUACACGGCUGAUCACACAGCCUGCCACACGCCCGUGUGACUCACACGACCUAGUCAAACACCCAUGUGCUUGGCCAUGUGGUGUCGACAGCCACAAUUUUCGGUGACCGAAACUUGCAAAAAUAAGGUUUCCGAUACGCUCCUGAUUUUGUUUUGAUGGGGAAACAAUAUGGAAACUACCCGGCCUAAUUAAUCAUUCCACGAUCAAUUACACUAUCAAUUUCAAAAUUUAGCAAACUCAACCUAUCGUUAAAAACAUGUCGAAAGAUUCAACACAAUUCUAUUCUAAUUCACACACUCACCUCGUACGAAAUAGGAGAAAUCAAACUAAUACGGCAGAUUAACGUCUUCUAUAAUAUCUUUUCCUAAACAAAGUAACCAAUGAGUCUUUAACAGAAUGUCAAUUAAACGAGCAAAGUCCCGUUUUGACAAAAAAAUGUUAACAGAAUGAAAAUCACAAACUAAAGAAAGUCACAACGAAACUUAUGCAAAAUCGACCUUACAGGCAAUAAGACUUCUCAAUUCACAUAAAAAUAAAUUACCGAAAGAGAAAAUAAAAGAGGGAAGAACGGAGAAACAAAGAACUAAAAUUUAAGAAGAAAUAAAAAAAAUAAAAAAACGAUAGAAUAUUUUAAGUUAACUACCACCCCUUCCGACAUUUGCAAAAAAAAUUCCCAUAUUGUAUGAUGGGACUUGAAUUCGGAACCAGAAAGAAUAUAGACAGAUGUUUAACCAGUGAACCAGCAGGCUCAUUCUUGACACUGAUUUACCCAGAAUUGCAUUAAACCACCUAACACAUAGAUAAGGGUUGUUUUAAAAUAAUAAAACUUUUAGCAACGUAAUUCAAAUUUCAGACCUUAAACACAAAAGCAGAGCGCAGAACUAGAGAUACUAAAAUCUAAUUACUGCAGAUUCUUACAAUUAGACUCUUAAAUAUUUGGGGCUUUACAACUCUCUCCCCCUAAAAGAAAUUUCGGCCUUGAAAUUUUACCUAAGUCGAACAGAUACGGAUAUAGUCAUCGAAUUGAUUCUUCCGGUUCCCACGUGGCUUCUUCAGUACUGUGGUUCCGCCAAAGAACUUUCACUAGAGGAAUGGUUUCCUUCCUCAACACCCUAAUAUCCCGUUCCAAGAUCUGGACAGGCUCCUCUUCGAAAGUUAAGUCCGGUCGCAAUUCAAUCUCAUCGAUAGUAACAAUAUGUGACAUAUCCUACCUAUACUAUCUCAGCAUCGAGAUAUAAAAUACAUCAUGAAUUCAUUCUAGUUCCGACGAUAACUCCAACUGAUACGCAACAGGCCUGACCCAUUUUAGAAUACGGUAAGGUCCAAUAAACCUCGGGCUCAGCUUACUCUUGCGCCCAAACCGGAGAACCUUCUUUCAAGGUGAUACUUUCAGAAACACUUAGUCACCUAUCGAAAACUCAAUAUCUUUUCUUUUCAAGUCCGCAUAAGAGUUCUGUUUAUAGGAGGCUACUUUCAGACGAUCAUGAAUCACUUUCAAUGUGUUCUCAGUAUCAGAAACCAGUUCAAGACCCAAUACCCGAUGUUCACUUAAUUCAGUCCAACAUAAUGAAGUAUGACACCUACGACCAUAUAACUAUAAGGCCUCGUAGGGUGCCAUCUGAAUACUAGACUGGAAGUUGUUACUAUAUGUAAACUCAGCCAACGAUAAGUACUCCUCCCAACUACCACUGAAGUCUAUCACAUAACCUCAGAGCAUAUCUUUUAAGAUCUGAAUAACUCGUUCCGACUGUCCAUCGGUUUGAGGGUGGUAUGCCGUGCUGAAAUUAAGUUGGGUGCCUAAGGCCCCAUGGAGUUUCUUCCAAAAUCGAUAUGUAAAUCGUAGAUCCUUGCUAGAGAUAAUCGAGACUAAAAUCUCAUGUAGUCUCACAAUUUCAAUAAUGUACAGUUUAGCUAAUUUCUGUAAGGAGUAAUCUGUUCGGAUAGGAAUGAAGUGAGCCGAUUUGGUCAACCGAUCGACUAUGACCCAAACUGAAUCCUUUUUAUCAGGAGUUAAGGGUAAUCCGUAAGAAAAUCUAUUGUUACCCGCUCCCAUUUCCACUAUGGGAUCUUGACGGGCUGAAGCAGUCCAGAGGACAACUGAUGUUCGGCCUUAACUUUUUGACACGUCAGAUAGUAAGACACAAAGGUGACUACCUCCCGUUUCAGUUCGGGCCACCAAUAAAGUUCCUAGAGAUCCUGGUACAUUUUAUUCCCACUAGGGUGUAUAGCACAAGGAUUAUGGUGCGCCUUUUAUAGGAUGGAAUGCUUUAGUUCCUUAUUAUCGGGUACACAAAUCUGACCCUUGAAGCAUAACACAUUAUCACCACUCAAGCUAAAAUCAGAAUUCUCGUUUGAACCAACAUAUUGCAAUCGCUGCACUAAAUAUUUGUCGUUCUAUUGUUUAGCUUGAAUCUACUCUAUACAAAUCUGUUUAACCUGUAAUUCUACCAACAGUCCUCCAUUCUCUACUAGACUCAGACGAGCUAACAUCACUCUCAGAUCAGUCAUUGCUCUACGGCUAAGGGCGUUAAUUACCACAUUAGCCUUACCCGGGUGAUAUUCAAUUGUGCAAUCGUAAUUCUUAAGUAACUUAACCCAUCGUUGUUGUCGAAAAUUUAACUUUUUUUGAGUUAACAAGUAUUUGAGACUCUUGUGAUCAGUGUAAAUAAUACACCUUUCACCAUACAGAUAAUGUCUCCAGAUCUUUAAAGCAAACACGAUCGCAGUUAGUUUAAGAUCGUACGUAGUGUAGUUACCCUCGUGUGUUUUAAGCUAUCGCGAUGCGUAAGCGACCAUCUUACCGUCAUGUAUAAGUACACAUUCUAACCGAACAUGUGAAGCAUCACUGUAAACCAUAAACUCUCGACACGAUUUUGAUUGGACUAAAACAAGAGCCUGUGUCAGGACGGACUUAAGUUUAUUGAAACUACACUGUUAUGCUUCAGACCACACGAAUGGGGCAUUCUUGCUCAAUAGUUUCGUCAGAGGUGAUGCAAUUAGAGAAAACCAUUCGAUGAACAUCUGAUAAUAACCGGCUAAACCCAAGAAGCUGCACAACUCAGAUACAUUUCUCGGCCAUUUUUAUUCGACAAUAGCUUCAAUUUUUUGGGGAUCAACUCAGAUCCCCUUUGUAGUCACCACAUAACCCAGAAAGACGACUUCCUGCAACCAAAACUGCAUUUACUGAAUUUGGCAUUCAACUAUUUUUCUUAGAGUAUCUGAAAAAUAAUACGAAGAUGAUCAUUAUGCUCCGUUUUAGUUUUAGAUUAGAUCAAAAUAUCAUCGAUAAACACCACCACAAAUUGAUUCAAAUACGAUUAGAAUACCCGGUUCAUUAAUUCCAUGAAUGCCGCUGGGAAAUUCGUUAAACUGAAAGGCAUUACUAAGAACUCGUAAUGUCCGUAACGAGUCCGGAAGGCAAUUUUGUACACAUCAGCCUCUUUGACUUUAAGCUGAUGGUAACCAGAGCAUAGAUUUUGAAAAAGAAGGACGCUGAUACGAGUAACUCAGCCCAAUUCAAAGGCCAUAAUAGAGAUGAGUUUAGUUUUCCUCAAGGCCCAAUUACGAGAUCCAAAUCCAAACAAAUAAAGUCAAAACUCAACUUAGUGGUUCAAGACUUUAUCACGAAAAAAAUUCAAGAAAAAGAGUUAAAGUUUCAAGACAAUAAAUUCUGGAGUAAUGAUGAAUUAGAAGAGACUAAUUAUGUUUGUGGGCCUAAACUCUCAAUCUAUGACGACAAGCCCAUGUGGAAAAUGCUAACAAGCUUAAGGAUUUCACUUCAAGAACCCCAAUUGAUCUUACAAGCUUAGACAUUUCAUAUUGGGUUUAAGUUUUAGGCUUAAUUUUUAUUAUAUAUAAGCAAAAUAUUUUGUUUAUUAGCUCUUAUUAUUUUAUUAUUAUUUUAUUCCGAAUUUUUGAUAAUUAUUAAGUAUUUUAAGUUAUUUAGGAAUUUUAUGUUAACAAGAAAGUUUAGUUUAAAACUACUUCUUGUUUAGAUUAAAUUAGAGUUCUAGUAUACUUAGGAGUUUUAUUUAGAUUUAUUUAUCUAGCCUAUAUAUAGGCCUUUGCAUUGUACACAGGGAGACAAUUGAUUAUUAUUCUAUUUCUCUUUUGAGUUAAUAAAUUCUCUUUGAGUUUUUUCUUUCCAAGAAUUUCUCUUGAGUUUCUUUUAGAAGAGUUUUAACAAUCUUUUUAGAUUGUGGGGAUCAUCUUCAAACUUUUUCUUGCCAAGGUUUUUAUCUUGGAGGGGAAAUUAGAGCCGCUUGAAGGGGGUUGUGGAUUCUUCGUGUUUCCAAGGCUUCUUAGGACUUCUACACGCCACGUUCUAUCUUUCCAUUUACCUUCUUUAUUCACUUCCUGAAUCCUUGAUUUAUUAUUUGUUUUAAUUAUUUUAUCUAACUUGGAUUUAAUUUCGUUUCAGGUUGUGUCAAGAAAAAUCCAAGUUUCUUUCCGAACGUCUAGAGCCCUAAGUCAAAUCCGCGACUUUGACAAACUUUACGAUCCGCUUUCGCGUUCAUCCUUCUCAACCUUUAUCAGACGCUCUUCGAAACUGGUCAAACAAGUCAUCAAUCCUUAGUAACAGUACUUGUUCUUGAUUGUCAACUUGUUCAACUGUUUAUAAUCAAUGCACAUUCUCAUCGACCCGUCUUUUUCUUAACAAACAAUACCAGAGCCCCUCAUAGAGACACACUCUGUUGAAUAAAUCUUCUAUCAAGGAGUUCUUGAAGUUGCGCUUUUAAUUCAGUUAACUCUUUUGGUGCCAUGCGAUAGGGCACAAUAGACACUAGAGCAGUACCUAGUAGCAGAUCAAUUCCAAACUCCACCUCCCUAUCUGGAGGUACUCUGGGCAAUUUCUCAGGAAAGACAUUCGAGAAUUCCCUCACGGUGCGAUUAUCACUCACUGAAAGCUUUUCGGAAGUAGAAUCAAACACGUAAGUAAGGUAUGCAUCGCACUAUUUUCGAACUAACUUAUCUGCUAUAAAAGCGGAGAUUACAUUGGAGAGGUAAUCCCGACACUCACUAAUCAUAACCACCUCGUCAUUCUAAGUCGACCUCAGAGUAACCCUGUUGGUUGCACAGUCUAGAUUGACCCGUUACUCAACAAGCCAAUCCAUUCCCAAAAUUAAGUCAAACUCAUUAAAGGGUAAUUCUAUUAUGUCAGCUAGAAAUACAAAACCCUAGAGCUCUAGGGGUACUCGUCUAUAUACUCUAUCAGCUCGAAUUAAUUGACCUAAAGGACUAAUUAUAGGAUUCAGCCAAAAAGAAAGACCACCAAAAGUAAUGACCACUAAGAUACGCAUAGUGAUUCGAUCUUUUGAUUACCCAUUUAUGGAAAACUUUUUUUUGGGGCUUCCGCCUUACACACAGAAGAUUGGAUUACCUGAAUCACGAGUCUUAUAUACUGUGUUAUGAUCACUUCAUAUUGAUAAAAAUUCCAGAGAACAAUUUGAAAUGGAAAUCAAGAAACAAUUUCUGGUCAUCAAAACAGAAAGGCAUGAAUUGCGCAAGAAGUUUUUUCAGGUAAAACGUCGUGUGACUUGGGGGACAUAAGACCCUUAGCCUCUCGAUCCCGAUGGGUACCAACGACCCUCUUCAGUGCUUGAAUCAUGGCCUGGGAUAGUGCGUUGUCCCUAACUGUUGGAGUCUGGGACUCCGUCUCAGCAGUGGGAGUACCAAUAGUCUCGUUGGUCUCUAGGUUGGGCAUGCUACCCAUAGAAGAUGACUCGGUUCGAGCUCCUCCUUGACGUCCUUGACAUCCCCGCAUACCACGUUCACGACUAUCGCAUAAACUCAUUUUGGCAAUUCUAACUACAAUAUCACAUUUAAUGCCCAUCCAUGCUUGCACAUCUUUAGAGUGUUUAAUGACAUUUUCACAGAACGUAGCUUAGCUGCUAGAUUAAUAUGCGACAAGCAAUACUCAUUGUGGCAUAGCCACGAUUUCAUUACAAACUCCUUCCCUCCUCACAGCCUCCCACCACAUGCUAAUACAGAUUACAAUUACUCGUAUCAUAUGUUCAGUCAUUUUAAUACAUUAUACAAUUAACUAAGAUAGUUCCAAAAUAUAGUAGAUAUCACAGUGCACAUAUAAUAAUGUUACUUACGAAUCAAUCCCAAUGUAUCAGACAGUUCUCAUAUAAUCAAUUUCGAUUACUCUUCCAUUGAGGAAACUAAUAUCAAGGAUAAGUAACAUUUUUGGCCUCAAAAGACAGUUUUCAGCCCAAUUAUCAGUCACACGGCCGGGUCACACGCCCGUGUACCCUGGCUGUGUGGUUUUCAAGCAUAUACAGUGAGUUACACGGUUUGGACACACGCUCGUGUCCUUCCCCGUGUGGCUUUUAUACCUCAAUAGCGGGUUACACGGCCUGGGCACACGCCCAUAUCCAUGGCCAUGUGGUCUCAAUCAAUAAAUAGUAAGUUACACGACCUAGACACAAGUUCGUGUCCGUUGCCCAUGUGAACCAUACACCAAUAUGGCCACACACGGCCUAGACACAUGCCCGUGUGGCCCUAAAUUGACAAACAGUGAGUUAUACGGCCGAUUACACGGCCUGCCAUAUGCCCUUGUGGCUCGUACGGCCUAGUCACACGCCCAUGUGCCUGGCCGUGUGGCAUCCAUAGCCACCAUUUUAGCGACCGAAACUUGCAAAACUAAGGUUUUCGGUACGCACCUAAUUUUGUUUUGACGGAGAGAUUACCCAGAACCUAAUUAAUCAUUCCACGAUCAAUUACACUAUCAAUUUCAACAUUUAAAAAAUUCAACCUAUUGUUAAAAACAUGUCAAAAGAUUCGACGCAAUUCUAUUCUAGUUCUCACACUCACCUCAUACGAAACAGGAGAAAUCAAACUAAUACGACGGAUUAAUGUCUUCUGCAAUAUCCUUGCCUAAACAAAGUAACCAAUCGAUUCUUUAACAGAAUGUCAAUUAAACAAGCAAAGUCUCAUUUUGACAAAAAAAAAUGUUAACAGAACGAAAAUCACAAACGAAAGGAAGUCACAAUGAAACUUAUGCAAAAUCGACCUCACAGGCAACAAGACUUCUCAAUUCACAUAAAAAUCAAUUGCCGAAAGAGAAAAAUAAAAGAGGGAAGAAUAGAGAAACAAUGAACUAAAAUUUAAGAAGAAAUGAAAAAAAUAAAAAAAUAAAAGAAUGAUACAAUGUUUUAAGUUAACCACCACCCCUUCCGGUAUUUGCAAAAAUAUUUCCUAUUACGUACGAUGGGACUCGAACUCAAAACCAGACAGAAUAUAGACAAAUGCUUAACCAGUAAACCAGCAGGCUCAUUCUUGACACUAAUUUACCCAGAAUUGCACUUAACCAUCUAACACAUGGAUAAAGGUUGUUUUAAAAUAACAAAACUUUUAGCAACGAAAUUAGAACUUUAGACCUUAAACACAAAAGUAGACUGUAGAACCAGAGAUACAAAAAUCUAUUUACUGAAGAUUCUCAUAAUUAGACUCUUAAAUAUUUGAUGUGUUACACCAACCAUCACAUCAAUGCUCAUAAGAGCUAGUGCAACCAACAUACCAAAAAAAGAGUAUAACACAAGAGUUCGCAACAAAUGUUAAGCAUCGGUUUACUCAGGUAGCAUGAAUGUCCAUCACUCCACAACCGUCUACACUCCAAUCCCCCUUAACAAACCAAAUCAUGACUGUAUUCUAUCCUGCAUUCAAAUCAAACCAAGCAUCAAUUCAAUAUUAUAAUAUCAAUUUACCAUUAAUUAUCAACAAUUAAAAAUAAAUAUACAAGUUGUACCAUAUUAAUCUACUCAAAAAUUCAUAUUGAUGUUAAAUUCUAACCGUACGAACUUACCUGACUAAAUUGCAGAAAUGUCGAAGUAUAAGGGCAUUUUGGUAACAUUCUCCUCAAUUUUCCACCCGGUCUUGAUCUAAAUUAAUAAUUUCAUUCAAUCUAUAAAUUUAGACAGUAAAAAAAUGUACUUUAUGCAAUUUAGUCAUUAUUUAUAUUUUUACAAAAUUGCCCUAAAGUUUUACUUUUAUUCAAUUUAGUCCCUGAGCACAAAACAUGCAAAUUAACCAUUUUCUAAUGCCAAUUUAUAACAGCUGAAUAUUCAUGGCACCCAUAUCAGCCCAUUUUUGCAACAAUUUCACAUCAAACCCUUUAACUUUCAUUUUUUUAACAAAUUAGUCUCUAAUCGAUAAAUUCAUUAAAAAUCACUUAACAAAAUACUUUUAAUUAUCAAUCAACAUCCCAAAUUCAUCAUUUAACAUAAUAAGAUUAAUCAAUGGCAACAUCUAAAAUCUUUAACAAUUUCAAAAUUGAAGGUACGAGCUAAUUAAACCUAGUUGCAAUGAUCUUAAAAACAUAAAAAUUACAAGAAACCGAUCAAAAUCGACUUACCAAUUGUUGCUUGAAGCUAGACGUAGGCUAGGUUUCUUCUCCCCUGUAACACCCUUAACCUGAAUCCAAACGCCGGAUUAAGGCUAAGAGGUAUUACCAAACUAAACAUUUAAUUAUCUCAUUCACAGUGUCAAUAAACAUAAACAGAGAUCGAGCUGAAAUACAUACUGAUAUUUAAGUUAUACGCCAUUUUCGUAUGGCCAAAAUAUUUACAAUUUCAAAACAUAGUUAUCAUCAGCCUAACCUAUACAUGCCAUAUCGAGUCUAAAAUAUAACUAUACCAAAAAGAUCGAUAGUGUGAUGAACUGCUGACGAUCCCCGAGUCGGUGGCCAAAAUCAACAAUCUAUAAAACAGAGAAAUAAAGAACAGAGUAAGCUUUCAAAGCUUAGUAAGUUUUAAGCAUCACAAACAAUUAAAGACUUAUCGAACAUCGAAAUAUUCAUUCACACUUAAGUAUCAUUCUUUAGUACUAAUAAUUCACAAAAAUCAUUGACUGAAUGUACAUGAGUACAUAAAGAAAUUUUAACAUAUAAUUCAUAUACAAAUAUACCAUGACCGAUUAAAUCAUUCUCAUAUUCACAAAUAUAACCAUCAAUCAUAUUUAUAUAUAUUCUUCUUUGAUGCUAAUGAUUCACUUGGAAAUCAAUUCACCGAUGAGUAAGUAAUACGUACCUGAACAUUUUAAAUGUAUAGUACUUACUCGACGAUGGUUUACUGCGAACAUUCAAUAUCGUAAUCUUACUUAACUUACUGGCAUUAAGCCUGUUAGGUCUUAGGACUUGAAACCAAUUACCAGCACAAGCCUGCGGGAAUUUAAACCCGAUAUAAUACCAGCUCGAAGCCUGCGGGACUUUAGCCCGGACAUAUUUCCAGCACGUAGCCUGCGGACCCUAAGUCCGGAUAUAAUUCCAGCACAUAGCCUGCGGACCCUAAGUCCGGAUAUAAUUCCAGCACAUAGCCUGCAGACCCUAAGUCCGGAUAUACAUCACUGAAUGUCAUGCAUACUUAUUCGCAAGAAAAUUCAAUUCACAUAACAUCUCACAAUCAUAGUUCAUUUAUUCCAUUCGAAUAAUAGCAUAACAUGGGCACCAUUCAUAUAACUUUUGGCUCAAUAACAUACAUAAGAAUAUAUGUCCAUUUACUUUCCAAGCUUAACUUCUAAUGUCUAUUCGGCUUUAAGCCUUAAACAUAAAUUAUUUGUCACUCAACUAUAUUCAAAUAGAAUCAAUAGAUCGCAGUACAGUUAUCAUACACAUAUCAAGACAUUAUCAAUUACGUACUAAAUGUGACUAUUCAAAACUUACUUCGGAUAUACUUGAACGGUUGCGGAAAGGCUACUCAAUUACUUUCUCUUUUCCCCUAUCCAACUUCGACCCUCUUUGCUCUUGAGCUUAAAUUCAAAAAUUUUAAACUAGUCAUUAUUCGACUAUUCAAGCAUUUUUUCAGAAAUAUAAUAUAUAUAUUCGACUUUAACACACAUAGAUCAUAGUAAGUUUAUAAGAAAACAUUAAGCAACUCAUUAACAAAUUUUUAUCAACGAUUAUCACAUAAUCACAAAUUCACAAUAAGCUGUCUUCCUGAGCAACAGUCACCAAAUUAUUUAUAACUGGAGCUACAAAACUCCAAAUCAAUUGCCGUAAAAUUUCCCUGAAAAUAGACUCAUAUAUCUUUUAUCCAUAAAAUUUUCAGAAUUUUUAGUUUGGCCAAUCAAUACCAGAUUUUUCUUAAAGUUUCCCCCUAUUUCACUGUUUGACUAAUCUGACCACCCUUUAUUACGAAUCAAAAUUCUAAUUGUACAGAAGUCAAAAUAUGUUCUCGUUGAUUUCAUUUGAAACUAGACUCAUUAAUCUUUAAUUAAAUAGUUUAUUCAUCUUCUAACUCCACUCUCACAAUUUAUGGUGAUUUUCCAAAAUCACUUUAUAGCUGCUGUCCCGUUCAGAUUUAUUACAAUAUACUAAAUCACAACUCUUUGCAUUCAUAUUAUUAACCAAAUAUAGUUAUGCAACCAAAACACAAAUCAUAUAUACAUUGUAAUAUGCAUAUCAAAAUAACUCCAACCAUGAUCGGAUAUAACCGAAUUUAAACAUGAAAAUUAAGCCAUUUUCGAACUCCUAUACUAAAUCAAUACAUACCAAAAGCUAAUUUUUACAUAUCCGUCAACUCGAACCUAAAACCAUAACCGAAUACUCAAGUACAUAUUAUCUAUUCUAUUAUUACAAUUUAUGCACAUGUGGCUAAAACAAAUUGAACCAUUUUGAACACAAAUAUCAACUAAAAAUACAACCAUUUUCAUAUGUAUAUUUUACUCAUGCAAAGACCAUAACCGAAUCAACCAUAGAUACCACCCAAAUCAUCAAAUUUUUUUUAACACACCUAGCUACUCAAAAUCAACCUUUCAUACACUUAUAUCUAAUAUCAUAGGUAAUGCCAAAUGUUCAAAUUCAACUAAAUUUAAAGAUUUAACCUUCAUCAUUUUAAUUAAUCACUACCUAUUCUUCAAAACUUCAAAUACAAGGUAAUUAACACAUAUACUCAUUUUAUUUUAUUCCCACCAUGAUCGAAAGCUCAAAUUCUCCCAAAACUCAAAAUUUUAACAUGGGUUGAAAUAAGAACUUGAUAACUAACUUAAAAACAACUAAAAUUUUAAGAACUAAUAAAAAUUCUUACCUUGAUUUAAGCCUAUGGUAACCGAAUGAAGUUUUCUCCCCUUUCCUCUCUUACAUUUCGGCCAAGAAGAACAAAGGUGAAGCUUUGUUUCCAUCACCCAUUUUCUUUUUAUUAAUUCAUUACUAAAUUAAAAUUAUAAAGCCAUUAUAAUUAAAUAAUACAUAUAUUCUAUAUAACAUAUCAUCAUGGCCGGUCACUACCUAAAUAAAAUGAAUAUUUGACAUGCAAGUCCAUCCUCUUUGUCACAUGCAUUAAUAGGCCACUUAAGAUUAACCUAUCACAUUUCAGAAUUUUCUCACAUAAGUCCUAUUUAAUAAUUUCACAUACAAUUGACCAAAUUAAAACAUGAAACUUUCACACCUUUUUAAAAUCAUAUUUGGCUCGUAAAUGUUAAAUACUAAUAUUUACGAACUUACUCAUUGGAUUUGGUGGCCCUGAAACCAUUGGAAAACAAGCUAUUACAACUCUCCCCCUUAUGAAAAUUUCGUCCUCAAAAUUUCUCACAUGAUAAAAGCAAUCACAUUAAAUCUUUUUAUUAUCUUCUUAAUGGAAUUCCACAGACAAAUCAUUUAUAACUCAUUUCGAUUCAGAACUUGCAUCAGAACUCAUAUUAAAACUUGAUACUAUAUCUGAGAUUCUGGUUCUAACUUUCUUGGAGACAUUGGAAUUAUUAGUAGCCAAAUCCAAAACUAACAUAACAUAAAUAAAAGGAGAAUCAUCCCAACUAGAACAAGAUGCUGAUGAUAAAAGCCGCCUUAGAAAGAUUAAUUUUUUCACAAUAUUGGCAUAGCAAAUUACAUGACAAUUUAAAUGCACUUCACGCUGACAUGACAUUAUUUGUUAUAUAUGUUAACGUUAACAAAUAAUUUAUAAUUUAUAAUUUAUAAUUUAUAAUUUAUAAUUUAAAAAUAAAAAAAGCAUGGAAUAUAUAUGAAUUGUAAUGCAAGUUGUCGUAUUUAAAAAUUUAAUAUUUUAGCCAAUAUUUUUAUUAAAAAAAUAACAAUUUAAUUCUUUAUAAGGUUGAUGGUUAAAUUCAACUGUUUUUUUGUUAAUCGAAGUAAGAUUUAACUUAAAAAAAGCCAAAUUGACAAUAUAUAUAUAAAUAUUGGAGGACUAAAUUUAACAUUAUACAUAUAUUUAUUUAUUUUAACAUUUUAACAUUUUCAUAUAAUUUAUUAUAUCUAAGUUGAGAUAUAUCUCAAAUAUUAAUGUGUGGAUCCAAACAUUACUUUAAUAGCAGUAUAAAGAUCCAAUAAUUUCGGUUUAUCAAUAAUGUAUAAAGGGAAUUGAGAUAAAUAAAUCUUCAAACCCUUUUUAUCUCAUCCUAAAUUUCAAUCUAUUUUUAUCUGUUUGACUGAAUCUUAUCGUUUUUUCUUAAUAAUUGUUCCAACUAAUCUUAUUGAAAAUUUGUUUGUAGAUAUUAUUAUGAUCCUUUUGGUAUGAAAAUUUGUGAGAAUUUGGGUUUUUUUUGGAAUUAGUGAGAAUUUGGAUUUUAAAAAGGUAAAUUAUAAAAAUAGUUAAUUUGGUUUGUCUUAAAUUAUAUUUUAGUUGUUUAUAUUUGAAAUGUUAUGUUUUAGUCACUUAGUUUAUCAUUUUAUUAUGAAGUGGUUACUCUACUGUUAAACUCUGUUACCUCCCUAGUCGGUAGUCCUACGUGGCAAUCCAAAUGCAAACUUGGAUGUCCAGUUGCUGAGAUAAAAGAAUGUUUUUAAUUAAAUAAAUUUAAUUUGGACUACCAUGUAGGGCAUCCAAGUUGGCAUUUAAAACUAAUUUGGAUUGCCACAUAGGCCCACCGUUAGGAAGGUAAUGGACCUUAACAGUAAUAUGACUACUUUGUAACAAAACGAUAACUUAAGUGACUAAAAUGUAACAUUUUAGACAUAAGUGACUAAAAUGUAAUAUGAGAUAAAUAAAAGUGACUAUUUUUAUAGUUUACCCAUUUUAAAUUGGAUAUGAUAUUUAAAUUCAACAAAUUUCGAAAAAUUAUUAAUUAGAAAAAGGAGGGAAUUAUUCCUAAAAAUAUUAAAAUUAAAAACAAACAACUUGUUUGACCAAAAUUGAUUCCUAAGUUAUCCAAUUUUAUUAAUUUUUAAAAGAAAAAGAAAUCUCGAAUUUGGCAUUGUAAUUAUUAGUUCAAACUUAAAUUUUAGCAGCUCAAAUUAUUAUAUAAAUUGAAUUUAAAUAUUUUAAUCCUUGAUUCCAAUAUUUCAAAAGUCUAAUUAAAAAUCUUAAUAUAUUUUAUUUAAAUUAUAUUAAAAAUCUUAAUUUGAUUUUAAAAAUAAAUAACUAAAACUGACACAAAAAUUAUAUUCAUUUUAUUAAGUAAACAAAUAUAAUUCAAUAAAUUCCAACAAUUCGUUUUUAUCUUAAAUCAGAUUCAAUAAUAAAUUAAGGGUAAUUUACAAAAAUAGUACGUAAGACUGCUGUUAGAAAGGUAAUGAAAUUUAACGGUAGAGUGAUUACUUCGUAGCAAAAUAAUAAUGUAAAUGACUAAAACGUAAUAUUUCAUAUAUAAAUGACUAAAAUAUAAUAUGAGACAAAUAAAAGUGACUACUUUUGUAAUUUAUUCAUAAAUUAAAAACCCCCUCCAAUUUCUGGUUUAACUCGAAAUUUAAGAUAAAUCCGAACUCCUUAUCAUCAAAUUCCUCCAAUUGUAAAUUUUCCCCUGUGAUUGAUGACGUGGCAUACGUGGGCCCCACACAAUUUAAUGAAAGCACAAAAGCACAGGAUUCUUUCCCUGUGAGUGUUUACACACACGAAUCAAACCCACACCGCUAAAUCACCAAACCCUCUCUUUUCUCUAAUUCACAACAUUACCCCUAUUUCCUUACACUUCGGAUCCCUUAUUCGCCUUUUCUAUUAAAGGGUUUCUCGUAAAUUCAUUUUCAUUUGAAGGAUAAAAUACAAAUAAAUAAAAAUAAGAAAAAAAGAUGUUAGAUUUAUUUAUGAAAAAAUGACGUGGAAAUAAUUAAACGGUGACGGAGAAAAAACCGGCCGGUAAGAUUGGGCUCCUUAUUUCCUAUAUAAACCCGUUUUCUCCCUUGACAAUUCGCACAUUUAAUGGAAACUAGAGAAAGAUCCUCUUAUUUUUCCUCUCUAAUUUUAUAACCUAAUUUCUCUCCUUUUUUCAAUCCUGGCUCGGUACUUCUGCAGUUCUUGAAGAGGUAAAAGAAAAAAAAGAAAAGAAAAUUAAAAUAAUUAAAUAAAUGGGAAAUUCUCUCUCUCAACUGAAUUUCUUUUGUUUUUUCUUUCUAUUUUGAAUUUAUAUGUUGGAACUUGGAGAAAUGCUGGAAGAAUGAGAUUAGAUUUUGAAUCGAAGGACAGAGGGUUUGACCUUUUGGAUUAACGCAUUCUUGUUUGACAGUUUUAAUGGAAGUGAUUUAUUUUGAUCUGCGAAAGGUUUUAGUUUAUGAAAUCUGCGGAUUUCAAAGAAGGUGAAUGACAAUGGAGCUAAGUGUUUAGAUUUAUGCUCGUUUAAAACCCUAGGAUUUGAUCUGGGGGCUUAUAUUAGGGUUAAUUAGUUUAAACUAUUAUGUGCUUAUCGAGAUUAAGCUUAGAUUAAGUCUAAAUUAGGGAUCUUAUGAUUCUAAUUAAGUUCCGAUUGGAUUUCUUUUCUAAAUUUUCAGUUAGUUAGGAUUGAGGGUGAAAAGUUCUUCAUUUUUUUUAAUUGUUCACAUUGGAUUCAAUUAAGUUAAUUAUUUGCUUUGUUUGAGUAUAUUGCAUUUAAUGCUCCUUCAGAAGUAAUCUUGUCGCCUUAUUGUGAUUGUCUGUGGGAACUAUUUUAAUUGCGUACUGUUUGGUAGAUAGAUGAUAAUCUUAGAUUUGUUAUGCUUUACUUUUGAAACUGUUUAUUGAUUAUUAAAGUUGUGCGUAUGUAUGUGGAGGUAUCAAUUUUGGCAGUCAAGCUAGUUGUUAUUUGGUUGUUGUUUCAUGAUAGGAGAUAAUUAGCAAGUACAUUGCUUUGUUUCUUACAGGAUGUGCAAACUUUUGUUGCUUAACUGGAUUUGGUUAAACUAAUAACUUUUUAUUGUAUGUACAGCUUGUUUUCUAUGUGGAUCUUUUGCUGACAAGAAGACUAGUAUAGCCAGUUAGAUCUUGUUGGAAUAAUCAUAUAGCUUGUAUGCAUUUAUAUAUGAAAUGGGCUCCCGUGGAAGACCAUUAUUUGAUCUUAAUGAACCCCCGGCUGAAGACGAUGAGGAGAGUGAUCUUGCUUCCUGCUUCCAGCCACAAAAGGCACUUCCAUCUGCUAAUGCCCAUACUUCCGACUUAUCUGUGACAUUAACAGGUUCUCAGCAAAGAGUUAAUAGUGACGGGUUCUUGCAUGUGUCCUCUGACUUAGGUUUUCAAACAUUUAUACAGCCUAAAGCUUCUUCUUUAACCAAAGUAGAUAUUGAACAUGAGAGAGCAGAAGACCAGAAUUCCAAUUUGGCAUCAUCUUCUUCAAAGUCAAAAUCAAAUAAUAGCAGGGAGACUAAAGGUCUUGUAGCAGCUUCCUCUGUUUCAGCUUCUACAAAUGCUCAAGCUGGAGAAAGAGAAGGUGAAUGGUCUGAUGCUGAGGAUUCUGCUGAUGCAUCUGGAAGUAAUAGUAUACAUGAAGAGGUUAAAGCUUCACAAAAGCGAGCUAUAAAUGAAGUGAUGGAUCAUUCUAGUGCUUCAGGCAUGAUUAUUCAAAGUGUUAGUGCCACUGAAAACAAUCAUUCUCCUUUAAAGCUGGACCAGUUUCUAAAUGAUCAGAUGGGCAACAGUAGCCAAAAUUCAGAAGGCAGUGGAAAAGGUGAUAUAACCAUUGAUGGUCAGGAAGAAUCUGGCUUAGUGUCCAAACAAAGAGAAGUUAAAGGUAUUGAAGCUAGUCACACACUUAGGUGUGGGAAUAAUCUAGGAAAGAGGAAGAUAGAUCAACAGAAAGAAGCGAUGCUGGGAAAGAAACGGAAUAGAAAGACAAUGUUUCUUAAUUUGGAAGAUAUCAAACAAGCAGGCCCUAUAAAAACUUCUACUCUAAGAAAGCAAAACCUUCCAAUGCCAGUUGUUACUCGCACUGUGAAAGAAUAUCACAUUGGUGAACGAAUUGGCGAAAAGCAAGGUCGGCCAAUAAAUGAGGAUCAGAAGCAAGUUGAUGUACCAUGUAAUGAAGGAAGCAAUCCUGCAGUAGAGUCAUGUGAUCCUAAAUCUGAAUGUAAUGGUGAUAUGAAUUCUGGAGUACUUGCCAGGCCUAGGAGGUUAAAUAGUGGCUCUGAUCUUUCUCAUUUACCAACCAUUCCCAAACAGAGUUCAUGGAAGCAACCUAUAGAUUCAAGGCAACUUAAGAAUUCACAGUUUCCUAAUAGGAAACCAACUCCAAUCAGCCAAAGCGCUAUGGACACAAAGAUGGUAAACAAGAAACAUCUUCCUUCUAAAAAGAUAACUGCCACUACUACCUCUUAUCAUGACACAUCUGUUGAACGUUUUAUACGAGAGGUGACGAAUGAAAAGUUUUGGCACCACCCAGGUAAUAAUAUAUGUGUGUCUGCAUGUGUGCCUUCUUUUUAUGGAUUUACAGAUAGCUGUUGAAUGCUUUUAGACUUCCUUAAUCAAGAUAUUCUUGUUCUCUUUUAAAGGUGCUGUUUCCACUGAUUUAUUUGCAAUAUCUGUUACCAAUAGUUCUCUUGAUCUGGUUAUUUAUGAGAAUUUCCAUUGUAGAAACAAUUAAUGUGACAUGUCUUUGGAGUUGCUGGUUUCCUCAUUUAUUCUUAUCCCUCCUUAAAGUAUAAUUAUUUGUUUAAUGGAACUUUUUCGUUAGGCACAUGCAUGUUAUAGGAGAUUACUUGGGUGAAUAUGCUUAUUUUUUCUACUAUUUGUAAAGCCUCAGAAUAUUUACCUAAGCCCUAAUAAUUUGUACAAUUUCUGGAGCCAUUGACAUACAAUACCGUAAAAGAAGGCGUAUUUAAUUAAUGUGUAAAAUGUAUGAUCAGAACUAUUUCUUUCUUCUUCCCAUCAUGGUAAUUGAGUGAAGUUCCUUUUUCAUUUUGCGUUUUUUUGGGCUUGGCAUCUUUUAGAUUGCAGUUGUACUUGACCUCUAAUUAUAUUUGAUUUCCAUUCAUCUCUAUCUUGUUUUUUUUAUCUUUUGUUUCUUUUGGUGUACUAAAUAUCUUAUGAACUUUUAGCCCUUGUACUUGACAACGAAUUUUCACUUAAUAUAUCAGAAAACAGUGAACUCCAGUGUGUUCCUGGGCAGUUUGAAUCUGCAGAAGAGUAUGUCAGAGUAUUUGAACCGUUGCUUUUUGAGGAAUGUCGUGCACAGCUGUACAGUACAUGGGAAGAGUUAGCUGAAUCAGCUUCAAGAGAUACACAUGUAAUGGUCCGUAUCAAAAGCAUUGAAAGGCGUGAAAGAGGUAAGAGUGGCUUAAAACACUUACCAGUCUACAACUUUGCAGUCUAUUAUCUUAUUGAUAAUUUAGUUACUGUAGGCGGGGGGAUUAGUAAGGUUGACAAUUAUGGUUUUGACCACUAAUUUGGUUAACUUUUUGGUUCCAGGGUAAAAAUGCUGUCAUUAUUUUUGGGAUAGAGAAUAAUCUUUCUACUAGUUUAUUAAUUGGCAGAAAUUUUUCUGUUGGUUUAGGAUGGUAUGAUGUGAUAGUUCUUCCCACUACUGAGUGCAAGUGGGUAUUUAAGGAGGGUGAUGUUGCAGUUUUAUCUGCUCCAAGGCCUGAUUCUGGUAUGAUAUUGGAAUAAGAUUUCUUUUCAGAUUUAUUUAGGAAUAAUUAAAAAGAAGUAAAUAUUUUAGCAAUGUUUAUUUCUUAUAUCUUGCAGUUAGAAGCAAGUGGAGCAACACCUCUUCAAUUGAAGAAGAUGAGGAGGCCGAGGUUAUUGGACGUGUGGCUGGUACUGUUAGGCGCCACAGGCCCCUUGAUACUCGUGAUCCUCUUGGUGCAAUCCUUCACUUCUAUGUUGGGGAUUCCUAUGACUCAAGCAGGUAAUUAGAGAAAUAUCACUUCCUUAUUUAUAUGUGCUUUGUUGCUACUGUUGAUUCCUGCAAAAUCUUAGCCAAAUUUUCACAAGCAUUAAUUUUCUCUUUCUGUUUUCUAAUGUUGAAAUAACAUAUUAAUGUUUAUAGCAAGGUUGAUGAUGAUCAUAUUCUACGGAAACUUCAACCCAGGGCUAUUUGGUAUCUAACUGUUCUUGGAUCUCUUGCAACCAGCCAGCGGGAGUAUGUGGCAUUGCAUGCAUUUUGUCGUUUUAAUGCCCAGGUACAUACAUUAUUAUCAUUUUUAAAUAUUCCUGCGGCCAGAUGCAGCAGGUCUUGUCGCUUGAUGCUUCCUUACUAUGGUUAACAAAAUUUCUCUUGGGCACAGAUGCAAACUGCCAUCCUUAAACCAAGUCCAGAUCACUUUCCAAAAUAUGAGCAACAAACUCCUGCUAUGCCUGAAUGCUUCACCCCAAAUUUUGUUGAUUAUUUACAUAGGACCUUUAAUGGGCCUCAGCUUGCUGCAAUCCAGUGGGCAGCUACGCAUACAGCUGCUGGGACAAAUAGUGGGGUGGCUAAGAAGCAAGAGCCAUGGCCUUUUACACUUGUUCAAGGGCCUCCUGGAACAGGUAAGACACAUACAGUCUGGGGGAUGCUAAAUGUCAUCCAUCUGGUUCAAUAUCAGCACUACUAUACUUCUUUGCUCAAGAAAUUAGCACCUGAGAGCUAUAAGCAAGCUAAUGAGAGCAAUCCUGACAAUGUUGCGAUGGGAUCAAUUGAUGAAGUCCUUCAGAACAUGGACCAGAAUCUUUUCCGCAGCCUUCCAAAACUCUGCCCUAAACCCAGAAUGUUAGUUUGUGCUCCUUCUAAUGCUGCAACUGAUGAGCUUCUUGCGCGUGUUCUUGGUCGAGGAUUUAUUGAUGGUGAGAUGAAAAUUUACCGUCCUGAUGUGGCCCGAGUUGGGGUAGACUCUCAAACACAGGCUGCUCAGGCAGUUUCCGUUGAGCGGAGGUCCGAACAACUUCUGCUCAAGAGUUAUGAUGAAAUUUUACAACAUAUGCGCACUUUGAAGGCUCGUGAGGCUAUGUUAUCUCAGCAGAUAGCAACUCUUCAAAGGGAACUUUUUGCUGCAGCUGCUGCUAUUCAGUCUCAAGGAUCUGUUGGUGUUGACCCUGAUAUUCUUGUUGCUCGGGAUCAGAACAGGGAUGUAUUGUUGCAGAACCUGGCUGCAGUUGUUGAAAACAGAGAUAAGGUUCUAGUUGAGAUGUCUCGCCUUCUCAUUGUAGAAUCCAGGUUCCGUGCUGGCAGUAACUUCAACUUAGAGGAAGCCCGUGCUAACCUUGAGGCCAGUUUUGCCAAUGAGGCUGAGAUUGUUUUCACUACUGUCUCAAGUAGUGGCCGCAAGUUGUUCUCUCGCCUUAGCCAUGGUUUUGAUAUGGUUGUCAUUGAUGAGGCUGCUCAAGCCAGUGAAGUUGCGGUACUUCCUCCCCUGUCUCUUGGUGCAGCCAGAUGUGUACUUGUUGGGGAUCCCCAGCAGCUUCCUGCAACGGUCAUCAGCAAGGCUGCUGGGACCCUCUUAUACAGUAGAAGCCUUUUCGAAAGGUUCCAGCAAGCAGGAUGCCCAACUAUGUUGUUAUCUGUGCAAUAUAGGAUGCACCCUCAAAUUAGAGAUUUUCCUUCUAGGUACUUUUACCAAGGACGUCUUACUGAUAGUGAAAGUGUUUCCAACUUACCUGACGAGGUUUACUACAAGGACCCUUUACUUAAACCUUAUAUGUUCUAUGAUGUUACCCAUGGCCGCGAGUCUCAUAGAGGUGGAUCUGUUUCAUACCAGAAUGUGCAUGAAGCAGUAUUUUGUUUGCGCUUAUAUGAGCAUCUACAGAGAACUAUAAAAUCUUUGGGUGUGCCAAAAAUCACUGUGGGUAUAAUCACACCAUACAAGCUGCAAUUAAAAUGCCUACAACGUGAGUUUGACAGUGUUAUAAAAUCAGAGGAAGGGAAUGAUCUCUAUAUCAAUACUGUGGAUGCAUUCCAGGGCCAGGAACGUGAUGUUAUAAUUAUGUCUUGUGUCCGAGCCUCAAGUCAUGGGGUGGGCUUUGUUGCAGACAUUAGGCGAAUGAAUGUUGCUCUUACUCGUGCCAGAAGGGCUUUAUUGGUAUGAUUUCUAUCUUCUAUUAUUCUAUGGUACCACUCUAUAGCUCAGAACAUCACCGAACUGCUUGAAGUCAUGUUUGUUUCAGGAAUUAACAUUGAUGUUUGAACAGGUUAUGGGUAAUGCCAAAGCUCUGGUGCAAUCCGAUGACUGGGCAGCCUUAAUUGCUGAUGCCAAAGCUAGGAAUUGUUAUAUGGACAUGGAUUCUCUCCCCAAGGACUUCCAAAAAGACUUGGUCUCCAAAGAUUUUUCUGGGUCCAGGGGACUUGGUUACCCUCCAUCACAAGGUAAAGCUUCUAACACAACGAGUUUCAGGUAUGCUGGACCGAGACAUAGAUCAGGAGAUAUGCACAUGGACUCCAGGUCAGGAACACCACUAGAAGAUGCAGGCAAGUCGAUUUAUAGGAAUGGUAAUUAUCGGCCAUUUAAGCCACCUAUGGAACCUUCCUUGGAUAACUUUGAUCAGGCAGGUGAUAAAUCUAGAGAUGCCUGGCAAUAUGGCACACAGAAGCGAAACUCAGCUGCUGCUCUGUGGAAAAAGGAUUCUUAGCCAUUAAUUAUUUGCCUACAAAAUAUUUGUGCACAGUGAAGAUCCUGGGAGCAAAACUUCAAUCCUUGUGAUUGAAAUUCGUGAAUAGGUCUUGGCUCCACAAAGGAUCCAAUGCAGUAGCUCGAGUUAUUUAUCUGUUCAGCCAACGCAAUUUACAAAAAGUUGGUACCACUGCCUGAUUUGUGUAUGAUACUUGCUGGUGGGCACCAACAUGCUUUUGCUCAAGGCCUCGUACUGUUUUUGCUAAAAAUCUGUCUCUGCAAAGUUUUUUCCUGGUAUCUUGCAAGGAGAUGGAUGAUUUUGGGGUAGGAUCUAUGAAACUGUACCCUAGAUCCACCCACAAGCUUCGAAGGUAAGAAAUAAAUCAUGAAGUCAAAGUUUUGUACUAAACAACUUGUGAUCUUUAUGGUUGCUUUUACAUAUAAUUAUAUUUGUAGAUGUUUCAUCCAGGAAUUGAUUGCUGACAUCGAGUAUGGUUCUGCCUAACCAACAUCACUUAGAUUGACUACUGAGAGCAAAUUGUUGCAAUCUGUGGCAUGACCUGGAUGAAAGUCUUUGAUACAUCUGGGCAGUCAUCCUGGUUUUUUGGCCCUUUGGUCCUGUAUCUCUCUCCACAACAUUCAGCUGACCCGCAGUUCCUGAAUGCAUUUGUUUAUGCUCUUCACACUUGAAAGAUGCUUACUUCAUUACAUGCCUUAAGGUUGCAAAAAUCUUGAAGUCUGCUCUGCAGGAUGUUUAUGCAGAACCGACACGGUUGUGAAAAGCACAGCCGGUACACACAGAUGAAGUAAACUGACAAAUUUUGAGGUCCGCAAUGUACGGGUUUGUUAACUGAAUAUUCUUUAUUUUCUUUGUUGCCGUUUUGUGUCGGCAAAGAUUAGGUGAUUUUCUUCCAUAAUUCUGUAUAGAAAAGGAAGAAAAGAGUACAGAAUUUGUUUUUAAGGGAAAAUCUCAUAGCGUAGGAAUUGUGAUGUUAACUGACUUUGUACAUACACCUUCUUCAGGUUCAGUAUCCUGUGGAAUCAUAGAAUUCUUUCACAAUGUUCUAAAGCUUUGUUCUUAGAAAGAAAAGAACAAAAAUCCAGAGAUUUGAAAUUCAAGUACCCAGGAUUUAUGUUAUUUCUCUUGUGUUUGUCAGGUAUAUGAUAAAAAGACAAUUUAAAUAUUAAACUGGGGACAGAUCAUCUUUUAUACUUGUUCCGUUAGGAAGGUGAUACUACUAAUAUAUUAAAGCAUUAUAAAAGAAAAGGUAAUCAUAAAAUUUAUAAAAUUUUUUUUGCUAAUUUUAUUUAUCACAUUAACUAAUCUGAAUUCGUUCGACGGAACAUGAUGAAAUUGAUUGAUUUGAAAUCGUCUAGGAAAAGAAGAUUUAUGAAGGAAUCAAAUUCCAUUCCAUGUAUUUGGAUCUUAUCCGAUAAUGCUGUCGCCAUCGAGCACACGUAAACAUAUCCUGGCACCAUUAAAUCGACAAAGUUGGACGGAGCUGUUUCAGGGCCACUUUUGUACCUUUGUGCAACUAGUAAGUCCACGUAAACCUACCCCCAUAACUUUAUACCAUCUUCAAUGUUUGAGCCAGCUCAGCCAGGCAACAGCAAUGAACACUGGCGAUUGUGUUUUUAAGAAAAAGCAUAUUUGCAGUCUUCUAAUAUCUAAGAAAUCAAUCUAAUAUCGAAGAAAACUCAAUUCACUUGAGUCGAAUUUUACUAUUUCAGAUCGAUUCAAUUGGUUGGUUUUUAUUUUUAUCCUUUUUUUCAAAAAUAACUUUAAUAUGUUAGGUCCCAAUAUUAUACUUCUAAAUCGAUUCUUAAAUUUUAAAAUGUUUAAUUACACAAGUUUAACUGUAUCCCAAAACUGUCUAGGUUAUAAAAGUUUAAUUGUAUCUUAAUUACAUCAACUAGAUCAUUUCAUUAGUAAAAUUUUUAAUUUAACUAUUAAAAGAUAUGUCAAAUUUUAUAUGACAUAAUUUAAAAUCAAAAUUUUAAAAGAAAUAAAACGUUGUCAUAUUACUUUUUAAAGAAAGAGUGAACGAUAAAGAUCUAUAAAAGCUUAUAACAUAUAUUUUUACAAUAUUUGUUUUCUUUAAAAUUUAUAUUUUAAAUUAUUUACAUAAGAUUUGAUGUGUAAUUUAACAAUUAAACUAAUUAUUUUAGUAAUGAAAUGACCUAAUUGAUGUAACAUCGAUAAUUUGGAUAUAUAAGAACUUUGAAGUUUGGAGAUCAAAUUUAGAAUGAAGGUCAUAGAUUGAGGAUUUCUGAUGUCAUUAACUUAUAUAAAUGUGCAUUUUUUAUUAUAAAAAUAAAAAGUAAAAUUUAGAAGACAAAAAGAAUUCAAUCCGAAUUUAACUUAUAAAUAAAAAAAUUGAAUCAAAUCAAAUUAGGGUCCAUUUAGAGAGACAUUAAAGUUUACAAUGUAAUAUUGGUAUAGAUUCAAAUGCAACAAUGAUGAAUAAUUCUUUUGAUACUUGGGGAUAAGGAGUGAAAUAGUUAGAUUAAAUCUAAACUCUUAUGCCCUGCAACACAAUAAACUUGUUACUAGAUUAAGAAGUUGUUGAGAACUUUAUCAAUUAUUAAUAAAAAAAUAAAUAUUAAAAUCAUGGUAAUAUAUCAAAUAAUAUUUCCAUCUAUACUAAAAAAAUUAUUCAAAAAAACAUUAACAAAGUUCCCUUGACUUGGAUCACUUUCGUUUCAAGGAGGAAAUGACAGAUUAGUAUGGAAAGUUGAUUUCAACGAGGUCUUCACAAUUAAAAAUGUUUAUUCCCUCCUCUUCAGAGGAAUUCCUACACACCUUUCAAUCGAGCUCAACAACUUGCCUGGGGUAAUCUUUGGCAACUUAAAAUACCUUUCAAAAUCAUCAUUUUUUUAUGGUUUUGGAACUACUGCCUCUCCACUAAAGACCUAUUUUCGAGAGGGCUCUCCAUCAAUGAUAAUAUUUGCCCACUUUCCUAAGAAGAUAGGGAAACCCCUACUUGCCUCUUUUUACACUGCAGUUUUGCUAGGGCAGUUUGGUCCGACUCCCCUCUUGUUCUUCACUCCGAUUCUCUCACAACUCAUUCAUCUCCGGUUGGAUUUUUCACUGGCUCCAAGGAAAUUGUAUCAACACUCAAGAUUCAAGAAACUUCUACACUGCUUCAACCUGCAUCCUUUGGAUCAUAUGGAAAUCAAGAAAUUAACUCAUCUUUAGAGGUUCUAAUUCAUGUCCUAUAGGGCCAUUACAAGAAUAUCGUAUCUUUAUAUUUCCAUUCUCAGUGCCUAUCAUGCUCAUUCUUCUCGGGCUUUUCAUUCAAGGAAUCAACCUGCUCUCAGCCUUGGUGAUCAAUUCUCCCAUCGGUCUCUAUCGUCCUACAUUAUUAAAAAUCGUCAAAAGGACAUGACUAGAGCAGCAGCUAUUGUUUAAAACUCUAAUGUGCUCCAACUGUUGUCCAUUCAAAACUUCAUGUUUCCCAGCAAUAUUCAGGCUAGAAUUUUAUCCUCCGUGCAAUUCUUUUAUCCCUUUUAAGUCUCAUAAUAUUUCUUCUUUUUAAGUCUCAUAAUAUUUCUUCUUGUAGGUUAUUGAAUAAAGACAAGAAAUGGAUCAAGAUCAUUCUUGGAUGCACCAAAGUAGGGUGAAAACUUCAACCAGCAUUUAAAGACAUCUAAAACCUCCUCCAAUUUAUUACCAUUGGACAACAGCCAGAUGACAACCUCAUUCUAGGAAGAGAAACGGUGAAGUGGGCAACAUGUGCUUCGAAGACUUUCAUUGGCUUCUCUUGGCCAUAAAUGUACCAAAAAACAACUAUGAUAGAGGUGAUUCAACUAUAUUUUUUUUAUCAUUCAAUUAUAAAACAAUACAAAUUGAUCACUCAAAUAUUAAUAAAUUUAUUUUUUUUGUUACCUAACUGUUUAAUUGUCUUUUUAGUUACUAUCUGGUUAAGGUAACAAUAGAAAUAUCUAAAAAUCUAAUAUAGUUGGGUGACAAAAAAGAUAAUUGAAUAAUUAAAUGAUAAUUUUGUAACAUUUCAUAGUUGAGUAAACAAAAAAGAAAUUUAUUAAUAAUUGGAUGACCAUUUUAUAACUUUUUCAUAAUUAGAUAACAAAAAAAAUUAUAAUUAGAUGACUACUAAUGUAAUUUACUCUUUUUAUUUAAAAUAAUUACAUAAAUUUAUUUUAGCCCUAAUCGGGAAAAUAAAAGUGAUAUAAGUAGAUAUAAAAUAUUAUUUGAUCUUAUAGAAUGGUUUUCCUAUUUCUUCACCCGAGCAUGAAAGAUUGUAUAAAACUGUAAUUACACGUCAUCUUUGAAAAAAUGACAAAUAGAAUAGGUAUUCUGAAUCAAUUGUCUUCGCAUUUUCCAUUAAUUUGAAUAAAGAUAAUAUCUUAUAUUUAUAUUCAAAUAUUUUUUAAAUACAAAUAUUGAACACAGGUCUUCCAAAUAAAUAAUUAAAAAAAAAUACAAAGAUCCUGACAGAAGAAAUCGCAUAUUUUAUAUUAGAAAUUCAAUAGAAUUCAGAGAAAACAGCAUGCAUAUCGUAUUCAUAUUCAUAUAUGACAAACUAGCAAGUAAAUUAGACUUCACAGACCGCCACUCUAAUCAUCUUCCUCCUGGUACACCUUCAUUACCUCAGCACAACCAGCUUCAGCCUUGUUGGCCAUAAACCCCAUUGCGUUGGCAAAACGGGUGUUGGAUGAAAUGCCGUUGAAGUUGGUCAAGACCACGCGUGCACGUUCACGUCCUGAUGACAUUUCAGCGCACUCCGGCUGCGAGCUCUUAACGAGAACAGCGUCACAGAUCUCAUCCAAAUGAUCCUCGGAGACAGCGAUCUUGUAUUGUCCGGUUGAGUCCGUGUGUCCUUCCUUCUCGUACACGACAUCACCGGUCUUCCGGUUGGAACAUACCACCUUAACCUUGGCACCUGACAGGAAACCAAAUGUACCAUUAAUCAAACCUAACAAACCUAACAGGUAACGGCAUAUACUCAAAUCUUGUGAAAAGUAUCUCCAAUCUAUCAACAGCAAUCAGUUAAGAACAAUACUAUGUUCCAUCUCCAUGAACGACCAUUUUUGUAUUCCAUUAAGCUAAGCAUGAUUAUGAGAGUCGAUCCACCUAAGACUUCCAAAUAAAUCAAAGAAAAACUCUGAAUAUCUUAAACAUAUCUAUAUCCAUGUUCGAAACUCACGUCAUAAUCCGAGUAACGUAGUACAAAACUAUGAGCAAAGCUAUCAUUUUUGGAACCGUAGUUUUUCUUAAAAGUUACAACUUUGAACCAAUCUGCUCUCAGUUGUCAAAUUCUAAGUAAAAAGGCUAUAAUUUUCAUGUUUUUAGGCUACUUAAAGCUUAUACUAUACCCCCUUUUCUCCCCAGAUUUGAAACUUUCCAGGUUUCAGUUAACCACAAGUCCAACUUGCCAAUAUUUUAUGUUUCAAACAUACCCCUAAUUUCUUCACUAACGAAACAUCAAAUCCCCUGAACCACGACACAGAACUACACGUGCACACACAAAAAGAAACAGAUCUAACAAUGUCAGCAACAAAACACACUAAAAAACAGGCAUAGGGAAACAUAGAAAAAACAUAUAAGAAAGGCAAAGAUGAAAAGUACCAGCCAUGUUUCUAGUCUUUGGUGUUUCAAACCCAGCACGGCAAUGGUCACAGUAAACUUGACCUUGAACCACCAACGGGUUCUUCACCAUGCGUGUAGCACUAACAAGACAUGGAACCACAAAUAGUGCAAUGAACAGCAAUAAUUUGGCCAUUUUUUUUUGGCUCUGGGUUUUUCUCUUGGGAAUGUAAUGAAGUAAUGGGAAGAAGGCGUGGAGAUUAAAGUCAAGAUAAAAAAGGGGGAUAAAAAGAGGGUGAUGAUAAAGUGGAGUGAUAUAAGGAAAUUAAACAAAAUGUGGGAACAGAAAAUGAUAACCGGGCAAGCCGCGUUAACAGAGUGUAAUCGUGUGUCUGUGGAUGGAGGAUUUGGUAAAUACCAAAGGGACAUGAGGGUAUUUUGGUGAAUGGAAAGAGUUGAGAUGGUGAGGUGGCGAGGUUUGAUUGGUGGGAGAUAGAACCAACUCCAAGUGGGGACGUCAUCAAUUGCAGGUUUCACUUUUCACGUUAGAAACGUUGUGCAAAGCAAGCAAGCAUAAGUUGCGGGAUGGCAUUAGCAUUACUUCUUUCAUUAUUUUUCAUUUUUCAUGUAUAAUUACUUAUUUAAUAUUUUAAUUUUAUAAAAAAAUUUAUUUUAUCGAAUCAUCUUAAAAUAAUUUUUUUUCUUUUUAAAAAAAUUUAAAAUUUAUAUUUUUUGUUGAUUCAUCUAAAAUAAAUAAAAAAAUUUAGAUAUUAUAUACAUGUAAAUUUUAUCGUGAAUGACACUUAAAUUUAAUUAAUUUUUAAAAUAUUAAAAAAAAUUUGCUGACAUAUUAUCUAUAUGGUAAUUUAUAUGUAUACCAUAUUAAUAAAGUUAAUAAAGAUUAAAUUUUUUAUCUAUUUUAAAGUAAUUUACUAAAAUAUAUAAAUUCAAUAAUAAAAAUAAAAAUUAAAUAAAAUGUUAAAAUAUUUUUUUUUGUAAAGACAAAAAAAGUCAUUAUGCCUUUUGUCCAACGCCAAUCACGCAGGCUUGCAAGGCAGAAGAUUUAAUGGGAUGGCAUUGCUGAAGGCGCCUGCUAUAGAUGGGCUUAAUGCACGGUUAUUUACGAGACGUUUAAACAUUGUGGCUCAAUUAUUUGUGACAUGGUUAGGGAAGGUAUUACGAGUACGAUUCUUGGAGCAUAUGGUUAUUUGUUAAGGAUGAUAAUUCUGUUCAAGGAUUUGAAUGUUUGCAAAACACUUUAUAUUAAUUUUGCGAAUUCUAGAUUAUAUUCGAAUUUAGAUAUUAAAAUUAUUAUAUGUUGCGAAUAUAAAUAGAUCUCUUGAGAUUUAUUAUUUGAAUUUAUAUGCAAAUUUAGAUAAUUUGUGGAUAAUUCAAAUAUAUUAAUUACGAAAUACUUAAAAUUUUCUUCUCAUAAAGUUUGAAACAAAUACCUUUGAUACAUAAAGGGUUAAAUAUACAUUUUAGUACUUGAAUUUGUCUUCAACAUUCAAAUUAAUAUUUAAAUUUUUUUUUAUCUAAGUAGGUACUUGAACUUGACUUUAAUAUUCAAUUUGGUACCUAAAAUUUAUUUUGAUUCAAUUAAGUACUUAAACUUUGCUUCUUGGUUCAAUUUGGUACUUGAACCUAACUUUUUGAUCCACAUUAGUAUUUACAACAAAUAACUUAUUUAAACCAAUUUGUUCAAGUACUAAUUCGAACCAAAAAGGUAAGUUUAGAUACUUAAUUAGACAAAAAAAGUUCAAGUAUCAAAUUGAACCUUGACACUAAGUUUAGAUACCCAAUUGGAUAAAAAAAAUUUAAGUAUCAAAUUGAACCUUGAGGCCAAAUUUAGGCACCUAAUUGGACAAAAAAACACAUUAGGUACCAAUUUGAAUAUUGAAGCCAAAUUUAAGUACCGGAAUAUAUAUUUACCCUACAUAAUCCAUGUUUUAACCAUUAAUAUUUAUCUUAAACUUUAAUUAUAGUUUACACAAAUAAAUAAAUAACGUAUAAAAACAUAACAAAAAUAUUUUCCUAAAAUAAAUAUAAAACUUAAUAAUAAAAUUAAAGUAAAUAUUUUAAACAUGUUAAUUUUAUUAGGAAAAAUAUAUAUAUUCUUUAAUAUUUUUUUAUCUUAAAUCUCAUGCGGCCUUUAUUAAAUCUUUUGUUCUGUAUCUGUAAAUCUAACCUAACAAUAUAUAGAAUCAUAGGAAUUCCUAAAUUUUUCAUACCCCUUUUAUUAUUUGACCAACUCAAUUAGUUAAAUUGUUUUAAACCAGUUUUUAAUUAAUAAUUAAAUAAUUAAAAAAAAUAUUAUAAUAUAAAUUUAUUUUGUAGUCAACCAAUUUUGCCUGGGCCCUUUUAAAGUAUUAAAAUAAGCCAAACAAAUAAGUCCAGGUAAAUUAAAUAAAAAACACACAAAUAAAGAAUCCAAAUUCAGAAGUCCGAUGUCCGGUUACAAAUAUUUGGGCCAAAAAUAAUUUAAACCCAAAAUCCCUUAAUAUAGAUUUAACCCAAUUACAUAAUCCAAGAGAGCUAUACUAAAAAAUCCUUAGUUCAAACAGCCCAAACCCGAAAGGAAUAUUAAUAGCCGAGAGCACUAGAAGUUUUUGGAAUGUCCCAGAACAGUGCCAGGGGGUUGGGCUCCCACGAGCAGUUUCCCUGCACGGCCUCUUUCGCGUGCACCUUUCCCCACUCCUCCGUACGGCCGUUCCUGCAAAGAACACACGAGAAGAAAGAGAUAACCGUAUUCACAGCAAAUGACAGCAAUGAAAAUGUAAUUUUAUUUUUAUUUUACUCUAUAAAUCCGGCUAUAAAAAGCCGUUGAAUGUACUCUAAGAGAUUUACGCACACUAUACGCAUACUGGGCACACAGAAUAGAAGAAAAGCAAUAAAAAUUAGCAGAGGUGAUUUCACGUUUUUUUUACUUUCUCUUUCGACUGUUCUCAAUCUAUUUUCUUCUUAGUUUGCUCGUUUUUACGUAACUUGAGGCCGAUGAGAGCCCCAAAUACUUCUGCGAUGCGGAUGUAAGGGCGAGAGGUCAAGCAACGUUGAAAGCUCCUUUAUUCUAUGAACCUCUUUUCAUUUUUUUUUUAAAAAUAACACGAGAUUUGAGAUUUCUUUCAAAUAAAGAAGAAAAGGAGUAAAAUAUAUUUACCAAAUCCUUUUAGGCAUAAUCGAACACCUUCAAUGGCGAGGUUGGGUACUGUUUGCAUGCUGUUGAUCACCAAAACUAUGGUGGUUCGGCUGCUAGCAAAGGAAACCCUAGCGAUUUGAUUUCAAAGAUGAGAUUUUGGGCCAAAUUGUGGGCUGUGUUUGGGAAAGAAUAGGGAAAGAAAGGUCUUAAAUGACCUGUUAAUGAAACAACACCGUGUAAGAGGGGGGUCCGCCUGUUAGUCCGUUCCAGGACCCGGAUCCGAACCUUUGUGCUUCAAAUGGGAUAUUUAUGCGGAUAGUCCUUCCCCUUUUGUGCCGUGUUUCAAUUUGUCCCUAUUUGCGUCUCACAUGUUUUUUUAAAUUUCUCCUAAAAUUUGCGUGUUUUUGCAAUUGGGUCUGCGCUGCAACACUACGUUUUGGGGCCUGGACUAUUCUCAUUUCUAGUCCCUAUACAUUCGCGCACAUUGCACAUUAAUCCUAUUUGUGAUACUUUAUUUGUAAAUUGACCCUUUUGUUUUAAUUUUGUUUUAAUUAAGCUUUUAUCAUCUUUUUAGCCACUGCAUAUUUACUCUCUAUUACAUGCUAGAUUAUAUGUUUUGAUAUUUUUAAUAAUUUCGGCUCUUUUAUUCUAUCAUUUUGAUAAUUUGUAUAUUAUUUGCAAUAAAAUUCAUUUUAGUUUAUGUAUGGUGUAAUUUCUUUUGAAUUUAUUUACAUAUUUUAAUGUUUAUAUUUCUUGAAAUUCAUUUAUUUUAUGCGUCAUUUAGGUUAUCAUUAAGCAUAUAUUUUUGCAUUUAUAUUUAAUCUACAUAAAUUAUUAAAGCCAUGUUAUUUUUUAAAAUAUAUAGCUUUUUAAAUUUGUACCUAAUUGUUUUUUAGUUUUAUUAAAUGUAUAGUAUAUGAUAAAAUUAAGUUAAUUUUAUAAUUCAUAUUUUUGUUCCAUGUUAUUUUAAACAUUCAAUUAUUUCUAAAAUUUCUUCACAUGUAUAUAACCCAUAUUAAAUUAUUUUACUAUAGUCUACAUUAUUGAUUUCAUAUUAAUAUUUCUUUUAUGUAUAUAUAUAUAUAUUUAAAAUUAUUCAUGCGUAUAAUGCGUUUAUUUUAAGAAUUAUAUUUUAAAUCAUGUCAUUCAUGUAUUGUAUACAUUCUCAUAUUUUAUUCUCCUUAUAUAUGUAUUAUUUAUAUGUACCAUCAAUCCAAACCAAUUUGUUACAUGUAAAAUUAUGUUAUAUAUUAUUUGUUUUAAAAUUUCCUUUAUAAAUAUAGUUUUAUGAAUAUACAUAACUAAAUUUAUGUAUUUUGUAAAUAUAGUUUUUUACCUUUUUGUGUAUAUGAUUAUAUUUUCUAAAAUUUGUUACAUGUAUCAUUUAUAUAUUUACUUAAUUUUUCAUACAUUAUUAAUUUCAUGCUAUUUUUUACAAAUAAUUAUUUCUAAAUUUAUUUAUAUACACGUUUUUUAUGAAUUUUUUAUGUACAUUAUAUCCUAUCAUGUGUUUUAUUUUUCUUUUAUAUUUUAUAUGUAAUUUAAGCUACCAUGCAUAUUUGUCAAUUUUUAAAACUUGUGUUUAAAAUAUUUUGCAUAUUAUUCGAUUCAAAUGUUUUAUUCUACAAUAUUUAUUUCAAAUAAUUAUAUAUCCCUAGCUUUCAUACCAACUUGUCAACUUAUGUUAUGUGUUAAUUAAUUCAUCAUUAUUUUGAAUAUGUCUUAUACUAUAUUGACUUGUAAUUCCAUUUUAUUUUGUACAUAUUUUGUGGAUCGUUUUAUAUUGUGCCAUGUUAAUUAUUGUUGUAUAUUAUUUUUGUAUUGACUGUUCACCAUCCAUGAUUAAGAAUUUGGUUACAUUUUACUUAGAAUAGUUGUACAUAAUUGUUGGAUUUAUUAAUUGUGACUUGUUGUAUCCUAUUAUUUCAUGUUCAUUAAUCCUUUCCUAUGCAAAUGUUUCAAUACAAUGCAUUAAGUAUUCCAUCUAUUUUAAAACAAAUAAACGUGUUUUGAGCGAAUUUCUAAUUUUCUUUAUUAUUCAAAAAUUUUGAAAUAAGGCAAUAUCCAAUAUUUGGGAAUUCGGAAAAUCGUGCUCAAUCGUACUGGGUAUGAUUUUUUCGGUGAACUAAAUAUUUGAAUAACCUUUUAUAAUUUUAGUGUACGAGUUUUCAAAAGUCAAAAAUCAAUUGUAUUUUUAAAGGUAUAAAGGAUCGUAUCCAAUCGUGCUAGGUAUAAUACUGCAUAUCUUUGAAACGAGAGAAUUUUGACGCUAAUUUGAACUAUUCAAACAUUUUAAAAAGAAUCAUACUUUGAAAAAUCUUUUCUUUAAAAAACCUUUUGCUAUAAGGAUAGCAUCAAGUCAAUUUGGUACCAAUUUUUGGGCGUAAUGAGGGUGCUAACCCUUCCUCAUGCGUAACCGACUCCCGAACCCAUUUUUUGAUUUUAUGUGGACCAAAUUUAUUUUUAAUGGAAUAAAACGUUUUAAUAGGUGGCCCAAUCACACCUAAAUCAAGAGAUUGGUGGCGACUCCACAUUUUUGUUUUCAAGAGUCGAUCCCCAUUGUUUUCAAAAUAAAAAUUAACAAUAGUCUUGCUAUGCCUGAAUUAACAAUGAAAGAAGAAUGUUACUUCUUAGGGCAUUGACAAAGUACUCCGGAUCCCCUAAACACAGAUUGAGCUCAGAAUGGUCCUCAAGAAGUUGGUACGGAGAAGCUCAAGCUGCGAUAUCUGGGACAUCUAGCUUUCCAUUUUUACCUUUUUUUUGUUAUCUUUGAUUACCUUUUUCUUUUCAGGUCACGUCCAAUAAGUUUCUUUCUUGGUUGCAUUUGCUUAUUUGUUUCGAGAUAUGUUCUCAAUUAAUUCCUUUCUUGUCCAUGGUUAUGAUCUUCUUCAAGCAUUUUGCAUUGAAAUAACGAUUUUUGGACUAAUAAUACUUUCAUAAAGGGAGUUUCGCAUAUUACUUUGGGGAGUUUCUAAAUAAUACAAGAGCCUGAAAUAGGACUAUUGUUUAAAACCCACCAAGCUUAAGGGUUGGAAAUAUUUAAGCCCAAAUUGAGAUUAUCUCAUUGGAUUUUUUGUCAAAGAUAUUGGUUGAGCAAAAAGAAAAUUACAUUGGUGUUAUAAUCCCAGCAAAGAGCGAGUAAUGAGGUUAUUCUCAAGAAAAGAAAAAUGCUAUUCUGUAUUCAUGCAGAUAUCAGGCAUAUCCAUCUGUUCAUUAUACCCAAGGAAUGGUGUAAUAGAUCAAAUUGAUUGAAGAUCCUAUACCUCUGAGUUACAGCAGGAUGGAUAGAAGAAAUCAAAUGAUUAUUCCCCUGAAGUUGCAGUGGGAAGUUCAAACUUUAUGUCCCAGAAGUCACAGUGUAAGGGACUCUGGAAUUAUGGCAGGGCAAGCUUGCUGAACAAAAUGUGAUUGUUUCUUUGGGUUUUCUUUCAAGAAUAUCAACCGAACAAGAUGGCAGCAUAAUAAAUCAGUGAUAGUGUCCUGGUGAACAACGAGCAAUGAUACCUUAAGGUUUUUUUUUAAAGAAGGAAAAAAGAUCAUUCUCAUUUUUUGCAUUCAUUCAUAACACAUCCAGUUAGGAGCAUUUGAUUCAUUUCAAUCAUAGCAUCCUAAUUAUUUGACAUAAGCAUCACAUCUAGUUAGGUGCAUUUGAUUCAUUUUGAUCAUAGCAUCCUAAUUAUUUGACAUAAGCAUCACGUCUAGUUAGGAGCAUUUGAUUCAUUUUGAUCAUAAUAUCCUAAUUAUUUGGCAUAAGCAUGAUACAUGAAACCGAAUCUACAGGACAGGUUCAAGAGGACGGUGUAGUAACAUCCGUGAAGUCAGAUCUUAUAUUCCUGAAGUUGCAGCGGAAUGGAUCGAAGAUUACAAACCUUAUCUCCCUGAAGUUAUAGUGGAGCAGGUUGAAGUGUCAAUUGCAGUAAAGCAGAUCAUAACAAGUCUUAUCUCCCUAAGGUUGCAGUGGAGUAGACUGAAGAUUGCAGGUCUUAUUUCCCUAAGCAAUAGUGGAACAGACCAAAGACGACGAGUCUUAUCUCCAUGUACUGGCAAUGGAGUAGAUUUAAGUCACCAGCCUUAUCUCCUUGAAGUUACAGUGGAGCAGGCUCAAUAUACAAGUCUUAUCUCCCUGAGGUUGCAGUGGAGUAGACUGAAGAUUGAAGAUCUUAUCUCCCUAAGCAGUAGCCGAGCAGAUCGAAGAUGGCGAAUCUUAUCUCCAUGUAUCGGCAAUGGAGCAGAUUUUACCAUUGGCCUUAUCUCUUUGAGGUAGCAAGAGAGCAGGUUGGCGAUUGUAGUCUUAUCUUCCUGAGAUAGUAAGGAAGCAGACUGAAAAUUGAAAAUUUUAUAUCUCUAAGUAGUAAAGGAGCAGAUUGAAGAUGGUGAAUCUUAUCUCCAUGUAUCGGCAAUGGAGCAGAUUUUACCACUGACCUAAUCUCUCUGAAGUAGCAAGAGAGCAGGUUGGCGAUUGUAGUCUUAUAUUUCUGAUGUAGCAAGGAAGCAGACUGAAGAUUGAAAAUCUUAUCUCCCUAGGCAGUUGCGGAGCAGAUUGAGGAUGGCGAAUCUUAUCUCCAUGUAUUGGCAAUGGGGCAAAUUUAAGUCACCAGUCCUUUUUCCCUAAAGUUACAGUCAAGAUUCAGUAAAACCGGGCAAAAUUGGCCCUAUUUAAAGUCUUUGCUCUACUCUCGUUACACGACAAUGAGCAAAGAGGGGCAACUGUAAGACCCAAUUUGUGCCUGGGCUUACACCAAAACCAAAACCAAAACCAAAAAAUAAAACAAAAAAUAAUAAAAUAAAAAAAAUAAUAAAACCAAAAUAAUUUAAAAGUCCAGUCCAUUUACAUUUAUUAAACAAUAAACCCAACCUAAUAAACCUAAAUCCAAAAGACCCCAGGCCCAAAAACACCAACUGAACUUUUGGCUAACCCUAGCCAACAGCCACUGCCGCAAACACCAUCAGCAGCCCUAACUCUUCACGCCCCACGCCGACAAGCUCACGAGCGGCUUCGCCAUGCCAUGCCUACCUGCAACAAAAUAACAGAAUAACAACCAUAACAGUGCAGCAAUUGACAGAAAUAAGCCAGCAAAUGACAGCAAAAAUUAGAGUUUUUUUCUAAAAUUUUUUAUUUAUUUUGUAAAUCGGUUAUAAAAAGCAGAGAAAAAUCAAUGUAAAAGAGGGAGAAUUUGUUUUUUCAGAGAAAGAUUUUACGCAUACUAAAUACAAUCAAAUAUUAGAAGGUGAUUUUUAAUCUAUUUUUGGCAUUUCGAUUUGUUUUUUUUUUCCUUUUUUCUUGCCUGCACUUUUCGGCAUAUAAAAAAUAAAGAGAAAUGAGAGAGGAUUACCUUCGUGGGUGUACCGUCGGGGUCAUUGUCUCCUCCGUCGAAAUCGAAGUUUUAAAUGAGGAUUUUCAGGUGAAAAUCAGUUUUGAAUCUCGGCUUUAAUAGAGAUAAAGAGGGCCUUCUCAUCAUUCAUCGAUUUUAAUGGUGAAAAUGGUGGUUAAAUGGUGGAUGAGGGAAGAGUUUUUUUGGUUCGGCUGAAGGGGGAAGGAAGGAGGCUUUAGUUUUUUUUUUUUUGCUUUGAUUCUUUUUCAAGUGGCUGAGUGUUAGUCUAGGUUUUUUAGUUUUGAGUUAUGAGAUUUAGUUUUUAAGGGAUAAUUGCACAAUUCGUCCCUCCCUUUCGCGCUAUUAGUCAAAUCGAGUCCUGUUCGAUUUCUUUUGCAUUUUUUAAUUUUUAUUUGGGAUUUACAUACCGUUUCAAUUUAGUCCAUGUCUAAAUGCUUUGUUUUGAGAUCUGGAACAUUUAGCUUUUCAACCCCCGCGUAUUUGCACGCGUUGCGCUUUCGUCCUUAGUUUUGUUUCAAUGCUCUACCUUAUUUAUUAAUUAUCUCUUUGAAUUUGAUUUGAUUUCAAUUAAGUUUUUAUUUCAAUCUGUAUAAUUCAUUUUCUAAUUCAUAUAACAUUCAUUUUUUAAGAAAUUUAUUUCUCUACAUGUUUUGAAUUACUUUGGUAUUUUACUUUGUUUUUAUUUUUAUUUUUUUUGUUUAAAUUAUUAAAAUUAUUAUUUUAAAAGUUCCUUUUAUAUCAUGUUGACUUGAAAUUAUGUAUGAUAUUAUGUUUAUUUUUUAUUUUUAUUUUUGUAAUUAUACAUAUAUAUUUUUUGAUAAAAUUAGUUCAAUUUUGUAUACAUUAUCGUUUUUACAUUAUUUUAUGUAAAUAUUUUCUUUGAAAUCUAUUAUAUAUAUACAUUUUCUUUUAAAUUUAUUUAUGUAUAAUUUGUUUCAGGAUUCUAUUUAAAAUUGUAUAUUUUGUUUAUUUUAGACAUUUUCAUAUAUUAGCAUUUUUGUAUACACAUUAUUUAUAUUAAGAUUUCAUUUCAUGUAUAUUAGUUAUUGUGGAUAAAUCAAUCUUGUUUCGAAUUAUUUUGUAUGAUCAUUAAUUUCGUAUUAUAUAAAUAAUAGUUCAUAUACGUUCUUUUAUAUAUUUUUAUACGGUUAUAUUUAUCUUUAAAACUUUCUAACAUGUACAUCAAUGGUUUAAAAAUUUUAUAUUGACAUCCAUUACUAUUUUUAUGAAUAUAAUUUAUAUUAUAUUUUAUUGAUAAAUUUUGGGUUUAAAUUAUUUUUGUAUAGUAUUCUUUUCAAAGUUCUUUUUAUAAUACUUAUUUUAAAAAUUCAUUUAUAUAUAUAUUAUUUAUUCUAUAUUUUUAUUUAUUUGAUGAUUUAUUUCAAAUUUUUGUGAGUAUUAUUCACUUAUAUACACACCCCUAGCUCUUAUAAAUUAUUUCAAGUUCUAGCAUAUGUUAUUUGCUCAUCAAUUAAUCUUUUUUAGAAAUUGUUUUUGUAUCGUAUUAGUUUUAUGUUGUUUGGUACCUCAUGUGGUAAUUGUUUUUAUAUUAUUUCAUAUAUAUUUGUUACACCACAUUUGCUUGUUUUUAUGUAUUGUUAAAUCAAUCGUUGCUCACCCAUGCUUGUGAAUUUGGUUAUUUUGGAUUAAUUAUAUUUAAUUAUUCGUUUCAUAUUUUAGUUAAAUAAGGUUCUGUUAUCUUCAUUCACCAAGUACUGUAUUUUAUGCAUGUAUAUUAUCCCAUGAUUGUUAUUUUUUCUUUUGGUUUAUAAAAUGUUGCUUUAUGGUCUUCAACUCUUUAAAAUCAAUUAUUCCAUUUUGUUUCAAAUAAAAUCAAUGCAUUUUGAGAUAAUUUACAAUCAUUUAUUUAAACUUCUUUGUUAAAAACAAGACAAUAUUCAAUAUUUAGAAAUUCAAGAAAACAUGCCCUACCGUGCUGGGUACGAUUUUUCGUUGGACUGAAUAUCUGGAUAUCCUUUUAUAAUUUUUGACCUAAGAGCUUUUGGAAAUCAAAACUCAAUCGUGUUCUCAAAAGUAUAAAAGAUCAUGUCCUAUCGUGCUGGAUGUGAUGCUUUAUACCUUUGAAAUGAGAAAGUUUUGUAAUAUCCUGAUUUUGGGCCUAGUAGGAAUGGUGGUUCCGAGACCACAAAUCUGAGAUAGAAAUAAUUAUUUUGAGGUCUAUGAUAUGAUUUCAUGAUUGUGUGAAAAUUUCGUGAAGAAAUUCUAUGCAUAAAGUGCUUAAUUUGAAAUUAGGGACUAAAUUGAAUAAAUUGCAAAACUUAUGUUCUAGAAGCAUUUUGCAUAAAAUUGAAUUAGAUUAUUAACUAUAGGUCCUUGAAGAGUAAUUUGACCAAUUUAUAAAAAAAAAUUGGACAAAAAUGGGCUUGGAAGGGUAAAAAUUUAAAGAAUAGUAAAAAGGGUAUUUUGGUCAUUUAGGGGUAAAAUGAAUUAAAAGACAAAUUUUAAAACCCAAAUGUGUCCAUCUCCAACCCCAUGGCCGAAUAUAGCAAGGAGAAACCAUGUCUAGGGUUUUUCAAGCUUCCAAGCUCGAUUGUAAGUCCGUUCUAGCCUCGUUUUUAAUGUUUUUUACGUUUUUGGAGUCCCGGUAACUUGAUUUAGCUUAUGCUAGCAAUAAUUUAACCUAGGGUUUAUAUUUGGAAAAAUACCCAUAGGUGAAAUUUGUGUAUUUUGGUGUUUUAUGAUAGAAUAUGAGGUUUUAAAUUAUGUUAGACAACUUGUGCUAUUCGGUUUUAAGUGAAAACGAGCAAAAGGGCUUAAUCGGUAAAAAUACCUAAUAGUCAUAAGUACAUGUUAGAGUGAGAAUUUGAUGUUGCCAUAGAAGGGAAAAAUGAUCAUCAUGUCAUAAAACAUAAGAAAAUAGGCUGAAGUUUAAUUUACGAGCUUUGGGGCAAAAGUGUAAAUAUGCAAAAGUUUAGGGGCAUAACUAUAAUUUUUCCAAAAUAUGAUUUUGGGUCAAUUUGAAUAAUGUGAGUCCUAAUUAGACUAUAUUUUAAAUAAUAGAGUAAGGAAAACUGAAAUUCAGGCUAAAAUGGGAAAAAUACCAAGUUGUGGACGAAAUGGUAAAAGUAGCCAUUUUCGCAUACGAGGUAAGUUCAUAUGUAAAUGUUGGUAACAUAGUUAUUAUUUUAAAUGUUUUAAUGUUAUUUAAAUGAUAUGAUAAUUAUUAUGAAAUAUUAUACUUGUGAUAAUUGUUUGAUAAUAUGUCAAAUUAUGUGAUAUACUUGGAAAAUGUGAAAUACUACCGAGUGUCAGUAUCGGCAUUCCGUAGAAGAUGGUUGAGACACAUGAUUGGGAAAAAGGUCCCAUUGAACCUUAGGAAUGGAUUAGGAUACAAGUGACAUGUCACUAGGAUAUUUGGGCAUCUGAACUCGUUGAGUUGAGUCCGAGUUCACUUAUGGAUGCGAAUAUCCGAACUCGUUGAGUUGAGUCUGAGUUCAAGAGAUGUAACUAGGCAUCCGAGCUCGUUGAGUUGAGUCCGAGUUCACUUAUGGAUGCGAACGCCCGAGCUCGUUGAGUCGAGUCCGAGUUCACUUAUGGGCGGGUUACAUGGUAGCUUGGCUACAUAUGUGGCACUUAUGUGCAAACUUUCCAUGUAUCCGAACUAUAUUCCGAUGUGUUCAACGGGUAAAAUUCUACUCAAAUGGAGGAAUACUCGAGAUGAAAGGGACGUAUUGGUAAGUGUUAUGAAAUGGAUACUUUGAACAGGUAUGUACUUAACCCUCGGGUUGAAAACUCGAUAUAACAACAAUAUGGUAAGAUGAUAAAUGAAAAUAUGAUAUGAAUGUCUUGGUGAUGAUUAUGCAAAUGAUGUUUUAUGUUUGCUUAUAUGGUUAUAUUACUUGCUAUUUGCAUGUGAACUUACUAAGCAUUUAUGCUUACUCCCUCCUUUUCAUUCCUUGUAGUUUUGACAAGCCAGUUCGGAAAUCGGGAACGGUCGGAGGCUCGCUCACACUAUCCGUGUAUCAUCUUGGCAUAAUGGCUUGUAUAUUUUGAGCAUGGCAUGUAUAGCAUCAUUUUGUGUAUAUGGUCUUAUGAUAUGGUUAUUGAGUGGUAUGGAAAUGCUUGAUAAUGAUUAGCUAUUGGAAUGGCUAAUCAUGAUCAUAUUUGGUGUUAUGUAUGCUAAGUUGCUAGCUAAUCCAUGGAAACCAUGAAAUAGGUAAAAUUUACCAUAAAAUAGAUUCAGACAGCAGCAGUGACGUGACUUUGAAAAAUCAUUAAAAAUAGUAGAGAUAUAAUUAGAUGAUGAAUAAAAUAUGGAAUUGAAGAAUUAUGAGUCGAUUUUCAUAUGGAUGGAACAAAACAGGUAUAUGAGUUAUAUUUUAUGAGAUGUUUAAAUUUUUGUGAAACAGGGCCAGAGCGAUUUCUGGAUCCCCUGUUCUGACUUUAAAAAAUUCAUCAUAAAUUUUACAAAAAUAAUUAGAAGUCAUGCUUUAUAUUUACAGAUUCCUUAUUGAGUCUAGUUUUAUUAUAAAUAAACGGCAUAGUCAUUGAAACUCUGUACAGGGAGAUAUCUGAUUCGUAAUACACAGAGGUCAGAGCAGUCGAACCCUGAAAUAGGGGAGACUUUAACUAAUAAACUGUACUAAUUGGCUUGACCAAAAAUUCUAGAAAAAAAUUAUUAAAUAUAUAUAUGAGUCUAGUUUCAGAAAAAAUUUACGGAAUUGGAUUUUGAGUUUCGGAAUUAUAGAUAUGAAUUUUUAAGCAACUGUGACGCAGAUUGCCAGCUUGACUGGAAAUUUUAAAAAUAAAUUGUUUGAGCUGUUUAAGUAAUGAAUUAAGUCUGUUAACACCUCGUUUUCAACUCCGGCGAUGGUCUCGGGUACGGGGCGUUACAUUUGACAACCAGCCUAAACCACUCAAAUGUUUUAAGAGGAAUCAUAUUUCAAAUUUUUUUGAAAAAACCCUAGACAUAAGGACAACACUUAAUCAAUCUGGUACCAGUUUUUGGGCGUAGUGAAGGUGCUAACCCUUCCUCAUACAUAACCGGCUCCCGAACCCAUUUUUAAAUUUACACGGACCAAAAUUGUUUUAAAAUGUUUCAUUAGGUGAUCCAAUCACGCUUAAACAAAAAGAUUGGUGGCGACUCCACAUUUGGUUUUAAAAAGUUAAUCCUCGUUUUUUCCUAACUUGAAAAAUGGUUUCGACAUAUUUUAUAAUCAAACAUUAUUAUAAAAAUAGUAUUAUAUACAUUUAGGGGCAUAAAAUAUGUGAAUUGUUAUAUAUGCAAAACAAAUGUAUAAUUAUUAUACAAUGUUGGUUCUUUUGUUAAUGACAUGCAACCUAAAUAUUAAAUGUGUCGUGAUAGUUGUUGUGAAAAAUAAUGAUGUGGCAGCUAACAGGAUAAUUAACGUGAAAAAAUGUUGAAGUGGAAAGUUUAAUUGAUUUUUUUAAUAAUUUAAGCCUAAAUAUAUUGAAAUAUUAUAAAUUUUUUGAAAAUGUAAUAAAUAUAGAAAAAUUAGAAAAAUGAUAAAACUAUUAAAUAGUACAAAAUAUUCACAUGUUAUGAAAAUAUUAUAAAAAUUUAGAAAUUAUAGAUUUUUUUAAAAAAUUAACCUAUAAAAACAUAGAAAUUUAUAUAAAAAUAAUUAAAAUGAUGAAAAUUAAUAAAAAAAUAUAAAAAUAUAUAUAAGAAAAUUAUAGAAAAAUUUUUUAUUUUUAAAGUUUGAUUUGGUUUAGUGGGGAGCUUGAAUGAUGCGAUCUCAUCCACAUCAUGUUUGGAUACACCUCGACGACAUCGAGAUUGGCCUAAACUCGAGAGGCCCAAGUGCAAAAUGAGACUUUUAAUUUCAGUUUGUUAAUAAUUGAGUUGCUGUACUUUAUUUUUAAUUGAACUCAUCUUAGUUAUUAAAUUAAGUUGCUGGAAUCAAUAUUCAAGGAGGAUUAAGUCAUUUAUCCAAGGAGAAUCACUUACGAAGAGGCGAAUGUGUUUCGAAAGCAUCAAAGUACCCGCCCACGGAGAGACAUUCACGAAUAAGUGAUCUUUACUCCUAUGUAGAUUCUUUCCCUUCUUUCUGUUGGAAAACUUGUCAUUCUGAAUCUUUCAUGUUACCUUGAUCUUAUAAUGAAAUUAAAAGAAGAAAAAGAGAUAUGAAAGAAAAAGAAAAUGAAAAAGAGAAAGAGUGUGAGAAAGAAAAGAAAAUUGAAAAGGAGAGUGAGAUUGAAGAAAUAAACGAAAGUGUGAGUGGAGCGAUUGAUAUUAUUGAAAAAGAAAGUGAAAUAAGGAGUGAGAGUGAGAUUUCAAAAGAAAAGGAGACUAAUGAAAAGAAAAGAGAGCCUGAAAAAUAAACGAGUGGAAAAGAUGAAAGUGAACUAGAAAAAGCGAUGAAUGUUUUUACUAACCAACCUGCGAGUUGUCCUCGUAUUGUUUCUUCUUUUCAGGUGUCUAAAGAUUCAAUUGAUGUGUUUCAACUUCAAUACCUUUCCAAAGAGAGGCGGUUUCAAUUGAUCGAGAAAGGUAAGGUCGAAGUUAACAUUAAACCACAAGUGUUUAAAGGUAAGCAAGGUAAUGAGUUUUUAGCCAUUGAAUCACGACAAUCACAUUUGAAUGUUGAUGAGAAAAUUGCUGAAGACUUAGUUUUUGAAAGAACUCCUCACCUUAAUUCGAUUAACUGUCAUUUUCUGAUUGUUAAUGAUUUUGCUCCAACUAGUGCCAUGAAAAGUUUUACCUAUGAUAAGUUUUGUGAUGGCAAUUUUGUUUAUGUAAUUAGGCUAAAUCGGCAUGUGCAAAGCUUGAUUGUUUGUGAUAAAGAGUUUUCGUGUGAAGCAUUCAAUCUGUUUGAUCACGAUGGUAAUGAGAAUUCUUUAACUCUUAAUGGGAAAUCCACAUGUAUUUUUAUGCCUAUUUGAUUGAAAUUUAAGAGGUUUGAUUGUUUGACUGAUUAUCUGCUUACAUCUUCUUUGUUUAGCAUAUGUGAGUUAUUGGUGAAAAAGAAAUUUAUGCUGUAUUUUGGCAAGAAUGAUCAAAACCAUGUUUUUAAGCUCGGAACGUGUUUUCAUAAUUUGAUGUUAAGCAAAGGUGAGUAUCAUAAAUUCUAUGUGAAUAGAUGCGUGAACAGUCUUUACUUGUUUGAUGUUUUAUCAUUAUGUUCGAAAACAAAGCAUGUAAAUUUUGUUGCCUUACAAAGACAAAAUCCAAUAUUUGAUUCCGGAGAUUGUUCUAUGACAUGGCUAAAAGGAUUCGCAUAUUCUUUGCAUGAUUACAAGUUUCACUUGCUUCAUGUUCCUUCCAUGAUGCCGGUCAUGAAUUUUUCAAAUCAAAUUGAAGUGGUAAACAAAAACUUUGUCUUUGAUCCAGGUGAAUAUUAUUUUAUAUCAUUGUCCAAGGGACUUGAACCAUGGAAUUUUGCCUUCUGAGAUUAUGGCUUUCGAAUGAUUUGUGAUUCGAGAUUGUCUCUAUCAAAGAACAAGGUAAGACCAACGGUAAGAUCAACUUCUAUUUUUGAUUCUGACGCUAGAUUAAGCGUUCAAUUGUUGAAUCAUUAUGAGAAGGUAAAGCCAAAUCAUGUUUUUGAUCCCUGCAUUGUUUCAUUUGCUAAAUUUUUGAAUGAGAUUUCAGGAAAUUCUUUUGAGUUUAUAAUUUCUAGUGUCACAAAUUUGUUUCAUUUUUAUGUAGCCGACAAUCUUAAGGGGUACCCUUUUAAAGAGGGAGGGUAUGCAAAUAACCUGCUUCCCUUGCGAACCAUUUAUGGUUCUCAUGUUCUUGGAAACGAUUUUGUCAAAUUCAUGAACAAAGGCGUUCGUGAUGGUGAAAAAUUUUUCUUGAGCAAAUGACUCGAUUUGAGGACAAAUCAUCUUCAAGAGGGAGGGUAUGAUGAGAUCCCAGCCGCAUCAUGUUUCGAUACACCUCGACGACAUUGAGAUUGGCCUAAACUCGAGGGGCCCAAGUGCAAAAUGAGGCUUUUAAUUUUAGUUUGUUAAUAAUUGAGUUGCUGAACUUUAUUUUUAAUUGAACUCAUCUUAGUUAUUAAAUUAAGUUGCUGGAAUCAAUAUUCAACUUAGUUAAUUGAGUUGUUAGAAUAAAUACUUAUCUUAGUUAAUUUAAUUGCUGGAAUAAUUUAUUGUUACAUGUGUUUUAAGUUUAUUAAUUAAGUUAGUUAAGUUUCAUGUGUUUAAAGUAUUUAAUGUGUUUAAUGUGUUUUAAUGUGUUUGUUAAUGCUUGUAGGUGACUAUUUAGCUAGAAUCAGUUACAAACAAGGGGCGGUUACAAACUGUUAAAUGCAACUUUUUAGUUGGAAUCGGUCACAUACAAGGGGCUGUUGCAACAUUUAAAGAAGAGCAUUAUGCACCAACAAAUUUAGGCAGCCUAUUCCUCUUCUCCAAGGAGUUAUUCAAGAACAGCAAUAGACAACAAUUAAAGGAGAGCAUUAACCAAGUUGCUGGUGUUUAUUCAGCUGCCCAAGCAUUCAAGUUCAACUAAAACAGCUGAAUUGAAACAUUAAAUCAUGUUAAUAGUUGUUGUUACUUAGGUUUAGAGAUUCCAAGAGUUUGUGCUUAAUAAUUAAGUUUUUAUUUAGCUCAUAACCGCACAUUAAAGCUGAAUUCAUGUGACUUUUCAGCUAGGUCUCAUGUAAGCACUAUUAAUACUUUGUAAUUAGCUUGUUUAAAGAAAACUUUUGUUGAAUUUAUGCUAAAUUUAAAAGUUGUGAGAUUUCCAAUUCUCCUUGUUCUUUUAGGACUAAAUUGACUUAUCAAGUAUUCUUGUGGUGUCAAUCUGUUCUUUGUUAAACCGAACUUAUUACCUUUGGUGUGGCGUUCAUAUACCUAUGGUUCCUAUCUUGCAUAGGUAGCGAGUCAAGAUUCUUUGUUGAUUUUUCCUAAACCUAAAUUCAUCUAAGAGCUACUUUGAGACUCGGGUCAACAAUCUCAAUAUUGUUGGUUCAUUCUCUACCCUUAGCCGAAUCACCCAUUCCAUACUUUACUAUCUUUCUUUUAAGAUCUUAUUUGAAGCUUUUCUAUUAUUUUACAUCCAUUUCGAAACGAACCAAGUCUUACUCAAAUUCACGAUUAGGCAAUUUAAACGACUCAAAUCAUCAUUGAAACGAGUUCGUAUCAUUGAAUUGUGAUGGUUAUUGGACUUGUAUAGAGUGUCGACUAAAGGAUCUGAGAAACAAUAAGUUUAGUGUUUGAAAACUUAAAGUGAGUGAUGAUUAAUGUUUUUGGUUGAGGAGAAAAAAUGUGAAGGAAAUUGAUAAGAAUGGAUUGACGUGAGGUAUAAUGUAGUGCAAGGUGUGAAGGAAAAAAAAAAGAAUAGUAAUUUUUAUCAAUUCUUUUAAAAAACCAUUAGAUAUUAUUAAAAUAUUACAAAAAUUUAAAAAUUAUAAACAACUUAUAUGAGUUACUAAAAAUUUUAAAAAAAUACUUUUAUAAUUUUUUAUAAAGUUUUAAUAAUUUUUAUCAUUUUUAUAAUUCUUUUGAGAAUUUUUAUAUAAUCUCUAAAAAUCAAUUAAGUUAUCUACGUCAAAUGUUAGGUCAACUGUCACAUCAUCAUUUUCCCUCACAUCAACACUUAACGAACCAUUAGGGCCUUUGAUGGAUAAUCAUAUUAUAGAGAUUGAACUGGUUGCUAACUUUUGAUUAAGAGUUCAAUUAAUUUUUCAAUUAUUUUACAAGGACUUCUUUAGUACUUAAGUUUAAAAAUUAUAAAGAAUGGUUAUUUUUAUAUUUUAUUUUUAACUUUUUAAAUAAUUAAAAAGAUAAUUUAAAAUUUUUAAAUUGGUUAUAUAUAAUUUUAAGAUAAAAAUUUUAAUAAAACCUUUUAAAUUUUAAAUUUGAUAUUUUUUUAAAAUAAAAAAUUAAAGUAAGACCCUAUUUAAUAGAAGGUAAAAGUUAAUAACUUUUAUAUUUUUAAUUUGAAAAUUUGAAAAGGUAGAAUGUUAUGUGUUUUGGAAAUUUUUAGUGUUAAAAUUAAUAAAUAAAUAAAUAUAUAUAUUUACAUUUUUGCUACUUAAAUGAUUUGAUUACAUGUUAAUUAAAUAAGAGCAUCAACUUAUCAUUAAAUGAAACUAUCCACGUUAACAUAUAUGAAAUAAUCAUAAAUAUAUAUAUAUGAAUAAUCUCAUUAUAAAUUUAUUUAUAUCUAUUUUUUUUGAACAAAUUAAAGAAAAAAAGCUAGGACUUUUUUGGAAAUAUGUUAAAUUUUUCAUUGCUUUACCUUCUUUAGAAUAUGAUGAAUUUUUUUGAUUAUGGCAGAAUUAGAGUUCCCUAAAGAAUCUUCCACGAUUAUAUUAAUAGCUUCAAUACUAUCCAUUUGAAUUAAGAUCCUCUCGAAAUGCCUAUCCAAAAUAAUGUUCAACUUGUCUAGUAUGCCCCAAAGCUCUGCCUCUAAUACAAUGCAAUUACCCAAAUAUAUAGCAACCCAAUAAUCCACUCACCAUUAUAAUCCCUCACACAACCACCAUCUAUUGUAAAGCCCUCGUUAAACCUAACCGAACCAUCUGUAUUCAAACUCACCUAGUUAUUAGAUAAAUGCCAGUUAUGGAGAUGACUUUGUGCUUUUUUUUAUCACAAUGCUAGAAUUACCUAUAAAUAGGAGGAUAAUACACUUCAGCGCACUCAAACCUACGUCCUCCUACAUUGUUAACAAUAUCCAUGCCAAUUGAACUAAAACUCAAUAAACUAUUAUCAAAUAUAUAUUAGAUUACAAAUUCUCGUUAAACUACAUCAAUUUUUUUUAAAACUACCCAUGUCAUUAUAAAAGUUUAUUUCAGUCUUGUCACAUAUUCAAUUUCAAUGCAAUACAAACUCACAUGAAUCUUUAAAAGUUUUAAAUAGGACUUUCGGUGAUAAAUAUUAAAACAAAAUAUGAUAUUUAUCUCUUCACUUUAUAAGAAGGUAAAUUGUAAAAUUAAGAAAACAUUAAUUUAAAAUAUAGUUUUUUUUUUAAAAAAUACAAAUGAUUUAAGGAUUUAUUUAUUUAUUUUCAUCAAUAUACCUAUUUUAAUUAAAGAUAAUAUAAUGCAGAGAAUCCACAAGAUAAAUAUUUAAAUUAAAAAACUUAUCUUCAAACUUUAUUUAAAAUGAGUUUUUAAAUUCAAUUUUACAAAGACUAGUUUUAAAUCACUUUUUAAUUCAAUUUUAAGUGAAUUUUUUUUAUGAGAGAAAAAUAAAUGAAAAACGUAGCAAGGAAAUUUGUAGCAGGCCAAUUUAUCCCGGGACAAUAAAAGCCUAAACCGACCAACCCAAAAACAAAAUUAAAACCAAAAUAACAAUAUAAAAGUCCAUUGUUUUUACAAGACCCAUUAAAAACCCAAAAAAUACAAAAAAAAACCUAACCCAAACUUUACAGACUCAUUACCCCAAGUUCCUACAGGCCCAAAAGGCCCAAGAGCCUAAAACAAUUCAGAAACCCUAGGGUUUCUGAAUCUCCUUUGCGCCGUACCCCUUCCAUGUGUGCCCUCGGCACGCACACCGCCCAAGGCUUGGCUUUGCCUGCAAUGUUGCACCUAAACAGCCAUCUACAGCCCCAUUGACCCAUUGUGUGCCUGCAAAAGAAAGCAAAAAAGGAAACAAAACAAGGCAACAGAGCAAAAAGGCGAAAACAGAGCAGAAACAAAGCAAGAAAAUAGCAAAGGCAUAGGCAAUAGUAAUAAUAUUAAAUCAAGUAUAUUUUUCGGCUAUAUAAGCCCAGAGACCAAACGUUGUAAGGUUUACACGCAUAUUAAGCAAUCAAAAGCAAAACAGAAGAAAAAUGUUAUUUCUUAUUUCUAUUUUUCUUGUGUUCUUUUCGUUCCUUUUAUUUUUAUUUUUUAUUUUUUACCUUUUAUUAUAAAUCUAUUUUAAAUAAUAAAAAAGGAAGAAGGGAAGAUUUACUUGAGUCACCCUGCGGUCUCAUCGUCGGAAGUCCCUUUCUCUGUCGUUGAGGUUGGAUCUAAAAAGGGGUCGGAGUUCUCAUUCUUCGGAAGUUGGGUCGGGAAGAUUUGGCCCCUUAAAAUACGAAGAAAUGAGGGUUAAACCCCCUUUUUUGCGUGACCUCGGCCACCGGCCACGGUGGGACCGCGGUGGGGAGUGGUACACCGGCGACGGGGCCCAAGGUCGGGUUGAAACCCUAGCAAAGAAAAGGGGGAGAGUCGUUUAAAGUUUUUUAAGAAAAAAGGCAGCAGAAUGAAAUUUUUUUUUAAAAAAAGGGUUUAUAUGCAGGAAUAAAACGGUGCCGUUUUGCACCCAAGGCCCCAGUUCCAAAACGAUGCUGCUUAAGACGACCCGCACGCGACCUGACCCGCUCCAGGGGGAUCCGGCAUCUUCGCUAAAUGGGCUAUUUAUGCCCUAGUCCUUCUGCAUUUUUGAUUAUUUAAAUUUAAUCCUUUAUUUUACUUUUCUUGUAUUUUUAAAUUUGACCACAUAAAUUUGCUCGGUUUCCAUCUCGGUCGCUAACCGUGGAUGCGCUGGAUAAUGGACACGUGUCCAGAGGUUGGGUUUUU
This 50815-nucleotide long non-coding RNA is filed under the name Gossypium barbadense (sea-island cotton). RNAcentral's name for it is "long non-coding RNA (GBAR_LNC004051)". The record is from RNAcentral. Lineage: Eukaryota; Viridiplantae; Streptophyta; Magnoliopsida; Malvales; Malvaceae.